GGUACUAUAUGUAGGUUUAGUUAGGCCAUUUCCUCCUUAAGCUCAGGAGCCAUUCCUUCCGUCCUCAAAUGAUUGCAAUGGCUCUUCCGACUCAAAGCGUCGGCCACCACGUUUGCCUUGCCGGGGUGAUAGUGAACCUCCAAGUCAUAAUCCUUGAUUAAUUCCAACCAUCGCCUUUGCCUCAAGUUGAGAUCUGACUGGGUGAAAAUAUACUUCAGACUCUUGUGGUCAGUGUAGAUAUCGCAAUGAUUUCCAAUCAGAUAAUGUCUCCAAAUCUUUAGCGCAUGAACCACAGCUGCAAGUUCUAGGUCAUGGGUAGGGUAGUUUUUCUCAUGUGGUCGCAAUUGUCGCGAUGCAUAGGCCACAACCUUUCCGUCCUGCGUCAGUACUCCUCCUAGUCCUUGCCUUGAUGCAUCACAAUAUAUAACAAAGUCUUUCCUGAUGUCAGCAAGAACUAAAAUAGGCGCAGAGGUCAACUUUUCUUUGAGCUGCUCAAAGCUUUCCUGACACUGUUCUGACCACACAAACUUCUUUUCCUUCUUGAGUAGUUGUGUCAUUGGUCGGGCUAUCUUAGAGAAUCCUUGAAUGAACCUUCGGUAGUAUCCGGCCAAACCUAGAAAACUCCGAAUCUCAGUCACAGAUUUGGGUGCCUUCCAUUCCGUAACGGCCUCAACUUUAGCAGGAUCCACUGCUACUCCACCGGCUGAGAUUACGUGGCCUAGAAAAGCGACUUCUUUUAUCCAGAACUCACAUUUACUAAACUUUGCAUAUAAUUUAUGCUUCCGAAGUUCCUCGAGUACCAAUCGCAAGUGUUCCGCAUGUUCUUCCUCAUCUUUGGAGUAAAUUAAAAUAUCAUCGAUGAAUACUACCACAAAUUUGUCCAAGUAAUCCAUGAACACUUUGUUCAUGAGAUUCAUAAAGUAUGCCGGGGCAUUGGUUAAACCAAACGACAUUACGGUGAACACAUACAAUCCAUAUCUUGUUGAGAACGCGGUUUUGGGUAUAUCCCUAGUCCUAAUUUUCAAUUGGUGGUAUCCUGAUCGAAGGUCAAUCUUAGAGAACACCUUAGGUCCUUUGAGUUGAUCAAAAAGAUCAUCAAUCCGUGGUAGUGGAUACUUGUUUUUGAUAGUUACUUCGUUCAGUGAGCGGUAGUCCACACACAUUUUCAUGCUACCAUCUUUCUUCUUGACGAAUAGCACUGGGGCUCCCCAAGGUGACGAACCGGGGCGUACAAAUCCCUUUUCUUGCAACUCUCUGAUUUGCUUUUUAAGUUCCUCCAACUCAUUGACUGGCAUCCGAUAAGGUCUCUUGGAUAUGGGAGCAGUACUGGGUAUCAGAUCAAUAAUGAACUCUAUGUCACGAUCUGGUGGCAUCCUAGGUAAAUCUUCUGGAAACACAUCGGGAAAUCGUUGCACUACAGGCAUUCCUUUCAGGGGUAGCAUGGUAAAUAUGCCUCCGGCACGUUCGGUUAGUCUAGGAUCUUGAUCCAUAGUUGCUCUCAUAUCCGAUCCCCAGGGUGUGGUCAGGGUAACUUCCCUACGUCUACAGUCGAUUACCCCUCUGUUCUUUGUUAACCAAUCCAUAAUCAAUAUGACAUCUAGGGUCUGGGGUAUCAAAACCAUAAGGUUGGAGGGAAACACCACAUCCCUAAGAUGAAUAGGUACGUCUAUGCAAGCAUGACUCACAAUUAUCUCGCCCCCAGGUGAGUGUACUAUCAUAGGUUUUCUAAGUCCCACUAGGGUUAAGUUGUGCUUUUGACUAGCCUUCAAAGAUAUGAAUGAAUGCGAUGCACCAGAAUCGAAGAGGACUUUAACCGGGACAGAAUUGAUAGAGAACAUACCCAUUAGUACGCCCUGAUCUUCCUGGGCCUCUUCAGCUCGAACAUGGUUCACUUGUCCGCGUCCAAAUCCGAUAGUGGUCCUAUUAGUUUGCGGAGUCUUGAAUAGACCUCGUCCGGCAGCAGGGGUAGUAGUUCCACGAACAGUCAUUGCAUUAGCACCAGUACGGACAGGAGUUUUGCGUGGAUGAGGGCAGUUGUUGGUGUAGUGCCCAUACUCCCCGCAAUUGAAGCAGUCCACAUUCUUCUUGGCUCCAGGGGCAGCCAGAGUUGGCGUAGGGGUGCGGUUCUAAAUCGCAACCAGCCUGUUGAAAUUGCUAGGUGCGGCGGGGCGGUUGGUCGCCACAAUAGGGGGUUUCCACCCAGACGAAGUGGCUCCCUUGAGUCGCUGAAGCAAUCCCUGAGGUGGGCGAUUCAUAGCAAGCCUCCUCUUGCGGUUGUGCUCUACAGUCCUUUGAUCGUUCUCCAGCCUAACGACCUUGUUGAUUAGGCUCUGGAAACUCUCAUGAUCUUGCCCAAUCAUAGGUCCACGCAACUCAUCAUUCAGCCCUUCUAUGAACUUGUCGAUCUUUUCUUCUUCAUCUGCGAGGUCUCCAAUUGCAUAGCGGGCAACCUGAGUGAAUCGGUUCAGAUAUUCCUGCACCGUUGUGUUCCCUUGUCGCAGCCUUCUAAACUCGUUCUUCUUCAUACGCAUUACCGCAGCAGGCACGAAGUUCUCGUGGAAUGCUGCAGUGAACUCUUCCCAAGUGGGUUCUCCAGCAUCCUCUUCCCGAGCUUCCUUGUAAGUAUCCCACCAAUCACCAGCGGGUCCCUCCAGUUGGUUUACUACGAAGAUCACUUUGUCGGCUUCGCGUACCCGGACAAGGGUCAGUUUCUUCUCUAUGAUACGUAGCCAAUCUUCUGCCUCCAUAGGCUCGUCUGCCAUAGCGAACGUGGGUGGCUUGGUCCUCAUAAACUCUCCAAAGCUCGAUCCUCCGCGGUUGCUUUGGUUGUUUGCAAUGGCUUGCAGAAGUUGGGUUUGAGUAGCCAUAACUCCGGCCAGGGUGGUUAGGUCAGGUGUCUGAGUUUCUUCAUUGAUGGUUGACGCCCGACGUCGGCUGGCCAUCUGUGUAGGCCGAUAAAGUAAGUAUCCUAAUUUUCUAACUAGCUCUUAUGGUUUUAUCCCAUUAAGGGAAUUGUUUUGAUGUGAACUUUGUUUUGCAAGCAUGGUGGAAUAAACUCAUUUAUAACACAAUAGCAAUAAUAUCAUAAAUAACAUCACAGAGGUCCACAAAUAGUACAUAAAUCAUGAUGCAAUUGACUGCACACAUACGCAGUCCAAAUAAGGUUCGUCCAAAAGAUACAUCAACUAACCAUCAAGCUACUCGUCAAUCUAGGUAAGAAAAAGGGGGUGUGUGUGUCUCGCAUACUAUCCAAAAACCAUCUGAAGCGAGAUCGAAGCUGCAAUAAUCCUCCAGUCUAGUCAUCCAACCAUCCGCAGGAUCCUGGGGCAGGUAGAGGGUAGUCGCUGGCACGGGCAAACCUGAGUCCCCACGGCUCGGAAAUAGUGGCCUCUGGAUCUGGCUUGGGCUUCUUGCCCGAGGGUCGGGUGCUCUUGCAGGCAGUGCUAAGGGUGCGAGGGCCUCGGAGGAACGUGAUGCAGGGAACGGGGGUCUCAUCCUAUGAAGGAUCAGUGAUGUCUGGCUCGAUCUCUGGCUUGGUAUCGGUCCCCUCUAUCUCAGAGUCGACCUAGAUCGGAGUCUCCAAACUGGAACCCAGCUGCGGAGAAGGUGUAGAGAUCAGUGGAGUGUGCACAAUCUCCGGCGCAGGUGGCUGUGUCACUGUCGGGUCCACCAAGUAAGGAGCUGACUCAAUAGCCAGCAUACCAACCUCUCCCAAAAGAGCGUGGAAUGCUGGUGGGUACGGCGAGGUGAGGAAAAAGUAGCGGUCAUGCCCUACUGCUGUGGAAGUAGAAGCCCCUGUGGUGCUGACCGUGGCUGCUCAAAGCUGCUCCUCCAGCUGGCUGACGUGCUCCUGACUCUCUCUCAGCUGCUCCUCAAGUGUAUCCAUCAUCCCGCGGCGAUCGUUGUACUGGGCAGAUAACUGCUGGAACUAGUCGCCGUGGACCUGGAGCUGUGCCUUCAGUGAGUCUAUCUCACUGCCCCAAGCCUGGUGCUCCUCUUCCAGCUGAAGCUGCUGCGCUGUGAGGUCAGUCACCUCGGUCUCUAACUCUCCCACACGCCUCUGCUGGUCGUCGAUCUCUAACAAAGCCUCCUCGUAAAAGUCGUCUACUGCCUCAGCCCAUCGUGACAAUCGGGUCACUAUCGGGUUGUAGCAGCAAGGUGUGUCCUGAACUGUGCAGAAGGAGUUGCUCUCCUCUCGAAACGGGUGGUGAGCAAACUCAGUACUCGCCAACUCAGCUAGGUGGAUAGAGCUAAGUCGGAGGAAGGCCUCCCGUGCUGCGUCCUGCAUCGCGGUCUCCAGUAAGUCGCGACGGUGGCGUGUCGGGAAGCUGUAGUCUAACUCCGAAGGAACUCGCGUGUGAACCUCGACCCGAACCUCCUAAACAGAUCCACACUGUCUCACUCGGUAGAUCGGAAAUCUGGGGUAUCGCAGACGCCUCAUCAGCCGGUGUAGCUCAAUGACGUAUCCCUCUAAGCGGGGUACGCCCAUCUCCCAGGUAGCGGGUGAAUCCUAAUCUGCCAUCUAAUUUUAAGAAAAACCCAAGGUCAGCUGAGAGUAAAUCUUGUUUAGUGAAGAAAAUAGUUAAGAUUAAGAUGAAAAUCGUACCGAGUUUUGUAAACAUAGUGUUUUUAUUUUUGAAAGUAUUAUUAAAUGGGAAUUUCUCCCUUGGCCAACUUAGAAAAGGGGUGGGGCGCCUUUUUGGUCUUUUCCUACAGUCGUAUGGCUCUGAUACCAGCUUUGUGGACCCCCGUUUUUAUAACAGGAAUCAAUCAUGUAAAUAGUACCAUUUCCCUGGAACAAGUAGUCUGGUACACACGAAUUCAUAGCUGAAAUACCAAGUGCACAUACACGAGUGUCUAGUACGAAUUAUUACAUCAUAAGCCCGCAGGCAUAGUCUUAAAUCAUCGGACCGAGCGGUCCGGAAUACAUUCCAAAAACAGAAGUAGGUAAGGCAGCGGAGUCAAGGCAGCGGCACGCCAUUGCCACAGGCAACGACCGUAACUAAGACCUACUGAGCGCCAUCGUCUUCAUCACCCUCCUGGUAGUAAGCGUAGGGAUCCUCCGAAGCUUCAUCUCCGACCUCUGAUUAAGUUUGUAUAUUGCAAGGGUGAGUACCAACCGUACUCAGCAAGCCACCACAGCAACAAUGUAUAUGACAGGGGUAUUUAAAGGAUGGCUAUGGUUCUUUUGCGCAAAGCAAGUUUUGUAAUUCUUUUCACAAGCCUAAGACCUAGCACAGACUGAUCAAAUUUUAGUAGUAGUGUUCAUAUUAAACAAUGACGGUAUUGUCCACUAUCCAUUGUGAUCCCAAGGAUAGCUUCCCGCCAUUGAGUCGUCAUGGUUUUCUGAGGACGUCCACAUUCCCGCCUCUCAGGAAGUGGCUCCAUCAAUAUAGAAAUCAUCAUGCAAUAUCCCAUCCCACACAAGUUAAGAAUUUAGAGUCUAGCCAAGUGUAAUACAUGUCCCGGUGCUCAAUAACCGCGAGCACGGCUAUUCAAAUAGAUUAGGUUUACUCACACUGUAGUGGAUGUACACUUUACCCGCACUCCGCGACUGCCCAACACAUGAGCCUCGUCCCAACACAUGAGACGCGUCACGGCAAAGCUUUUCGGUAACCUCGCAUUGGCAGUACCCGCUCCAUGAACUUUACAUCCUCAUGCACUCUAGGCGUACAUGGUUUCUAGCAGUGAGAGCAGUUCUGGCGCACCCGGGAAGGGAAGACUCACACAUGCAUUAAGUUAUAAUUAUGUUUAAAUUCUCUCAUGGCAGUCCUACCGAUGGCGACACCACUGUAGACACCCGCCUCGCGGUUCUACCAAUGGCUGCCCCACCGUAGAGCCCCUGCCUCACACAUCAAGAAACCACUAUGCAUGGAUACUGCCUCCGCUCAGCUAUCUAUUCCGCUAGGUCUAUACCCAUACGAGAAGUGCGGUUGUACGGGGGUCGUUUCAUGCUUAACUUCAUGGCUCGGUCCUUAAUUGAUCGGGGAUGGUACUAGCCUUUUCCGGAUACCACCCAAAUCCUCCGUCCGCUCCAGUCGAAAACAGUUGUUUAAUUUUAUUUCUCCUUUCACAAAUCAUGUCAUCAACAUCAUGGCAAUGUGGCGCUCAUGUCUCCACAUGCCGCAUCUCAAUUACCUUCCCAAAAGUAAUUGCCCAAGCAUAUAGCUUUUGAUAAAUAUGAGUAUGCAUAAAUCUAGAGUAGCAUUUCUAAGCAUUUGUCAUAGUUGAUUAGGGACUUAUACGUAAAUCAUGGUUACAAGGAUUUAAGGGUAAACAAUAAUCAAGGCAUGGCAUAAUCACAAGUAGGAUGUUUAUCACUGCGUGUAAUUUUAUUUGUAAACAAAAUAAUUUUGCAAAUGGGAUGAACAUGUUCAAGGAAUAGUGAUGACUUUCCUUGCUCAAAGUCUUGCGGGUCUUGGCCUUCACUUGGAUCCGCAACUCCCUCGGGCUCUAUAGUUACGUGCGAAAAUUGAUUUGAAUUCGGUUAGAAUUCAAAUAAAAAUCCAAAUAAAUCCAAAUGGAAGUCGAAUGCGAAAGUCGAUUCUUUUUUUAUUAACUUUACUAUUCGCGAACUAGGGCAAACCCAAUUUCGAUUUAUACAUCCUAAACUAUUUUUGCGGAUACAAAUAUUUUGUUACCAUAAGUUUUUAAUUUAAUCUACCCGAGCAUUAUAUCCAUAUAAUAGGUUAGAAAUUUCUAUCGCGAGCUAAAUAUCGGACAAAAUCCUAAAAUUAUCUUAUAAUAUUGUACGAUUUAAUUUAGUCUAUGACUAAACGAUUAAAUAUAAUACACGGCUAAAAUUCCUAGUAAUUAAAUCCGAAUAUUUACCGUGAAUCGAUUACUUAUAGACAUUACCCAAAAAUAAUCUAUAAUAAUCUAUAAGAAUUCAUCUAUUUGUUUAGUUAUUAAUUACAUCUAAAUUACUACCGCGAAUUGAUUUCUUAUAGAAAUUACCAAGAAUAAUCCAUAAUUUAUAUUAAAUUUUGCAAUUCUACGACUAUAAUUAAUCUAUAAUUAAAUUCUAAUUAUUUUAAAUUUUCUAAACUUCCCUAAUCUCCCACUAAUUUCUAUUUAUUUUUUUCUUUUCUUUUUCUCUCCUCUUUUCUCUCUUUUCUUUUCUUUUUCCUUCUCUUUCUCUCUUUUCUUUUCUUUUUCCUUCUCUUUCUCUCCCUCCCGGUUUCUCUCCUUCCUUCUUUCUUCUUUCUCUCCCUCGGCUUCUCCCUUCUUCUCUCUCUCGGCUCUCUCUCUACCCGGCGGCAUGGCGACAAACGGGGGGGCAGCGGCUCACCGACGGCGCGCGGCAUGGGAGAUGGGACGGGCGUGCGGCGAGGCAGGGGCGUGGGGCACGAGGCGACGACGCGACGGUGACGACGAUGGCGCGCAGGGCUCAACGCGGCGACGGCAGUGGCGCGCGACGCUUGGCGACGGCAUGCGGCGGCAAGCGGCGAUGGCGCGUCGGCGCGGGCUCAGGGCGGCUAGGGGCAGAGGUGGGAGAGGAGGGGGAAGGCUAGGGACCGCAUCGAACACCUACGCUAUAAUGAACAGUGUAUUUUCCUAUUUAUCCCGAUUUUAGUUUAUUUCCCAUAUAAAUUUGAUUUUAUAAUUUCUAAAUCUUGCAUAAAUGAAGUUUACUCAAUAUUUGUGUUAUCUCAACUAAUGAAUUCACCCUAAAUUAAUAUUACUCAUAUUUUAUUUAUAUAAUUUAUUUGAAUUUUUAAUUAGGGUUAAUUCUUAUUCCAUCGCAUUUAAAUUUAAUUGAUACGAAUAUGAUCGUGAUAAUAUUUUAUUUAUUUCUAUCCACACCUAAUCUUUAUUUUAAAUUAUAUUUAUUUUACCAAUUUACUUUUAGGGUUUAUUCCUAAUUAACUAUUCUUUACUCACGAUUAAUGAACUUCAAAAACAAAUCCAAAUAAAAUAGGCGAAUAAGAUCGGCAUGAUGCAAUUAAGUUAAAAGUUUUCGAAGGUCCGUAUUUUUAGAGUUUUGCUUUUAUUGGUCAAAUUUUCAGGGUGUUACAUUACCGAUAUUCUAUUGCACACUAUAAAUAAUCUGGCCACCUUAGGAAUAUUAUCCCACUUAUCACUAUUUUGGUGGGAGGUGUUGGGGGUGAAUUUUUAUAUGUUUUCAAAGAAAAGAUAGUAUUACUAUUAUAGGGUUGUUUAAUAUGCAACCUUUUCGUAUAUUAGAGGAUCGAUUAGCUUUAAUUUCGAUCAGUUUUUUUAUUUAAUUACUGCCAGGGCUUUGUCUCAGAGUGUGAUUUUCAUUAAAAAGAAAAAUAUUUACAAGAAAAAGGUUACAAGGAAAGCACCUGAAAAAAUUACAAAGUUUGUAACCAAUAAAAAACAACUUGCCUAGGGCAUCAUUCAUUCUACACACUUCUCUCAUGAACAAACUUCUCCAUGCUUCAAAGGAACGUUGCUAGGCAAAUAUGCUAGGCAACAUUGAAGAAGACUUCCAGCACCACUAUUCGGAAGAAAUUGAGAUUAGAAUCUCACAGGAUUCCCAGAUGCCGCCAACAUAAUCUCUGACUAAAAGGAGAGAAGAAGAAAAGGUUCUCUCUUGUUUCUCCAUGACCAUUUGCACAAAGCACGCAUGUCAGAUCAUAAAUUAGUUGUAAAUACGACAACAUGUGACAAAUCUAUGACUUAAACACGUGUAUAUUUCACCGCGCAGUUUAACCCGUGUUUGGAAAAAAAAUGACAGCUCGAACUUCGUUCAAUUUUCUCGUACGUGCUAGACCAUCAAUAUAUUUUCCGAAUACGCGCCGAUUGACUUGGAAUUAUUACUCCAAGCGGUGGAAAAAGAAAGCGGUUCUCUGCACGUCUAUACCUCUUACAUUUUUUCCAAACGGAACUAUUGAAACGUUGAAUAAUAUAAACGACUUUUCUAUGCUUGUUUUCGUAACAGUUUUUAGUGAUAGAUAUUUCACUUUACAAUGGAAAUCGUAAUUUAUAUAUUUAAUAUAUGUACUCCCUCCGUCCACUAAUAUAAGGGGUUUUGACAUUUUAAUUGCAUUGUUUGACCAUUCGCAUUAUUAAAAAAAUAUUAAAAUUAUUAUUUAUUUUAUUUGUGAAUUACUUUAUUAUCCAUAGUACUUUAAGCAUAACUUUUCAUUUUUUAUAUUUGUACAAAUUUUUCUGAAUAAGACGAGUGGUCAAACAGUGCAAGCAAAAUAUCAAAAUCCCUUAUAUUAGUGGAAGGAGGGAGUAUUUUUCAGGACAGAGAUUAAGAAAAAAAACUCAUCGUUAGUUUAAAUUUUUAGUCAAUCUCGGUAAGGAGAAAUGAAAAUGAGAUAAUGAAGGUUCCUUGGUCACUACUGCCAUCAGUGCCAUGCGGCCCUGCGCUGCCUUUUCCAUUACUGGAAAGAGCAGAGUACGUCCAAGAAAGCGAUGUGUCUAGCAAGAAGUGUCAUCGCUUUUGUCCAGGUGAACUCUAGUUUUUCUUAUUUCUAUCUAUCUAAUUAAGUGGUAUAUACCAGUACAUAAUUUGUUUAUUUACGAUGCUAUUUAUCUAGGGACAUAAACGGUAAAAAUCAUGAAAUCGAAAAACAGACCUAAAACAUUUUGUACAUUCAUAAAAAAAUUAUUCGUGAUAUAUACGGUGAACUCUACUAGGCACAGGAUACAUUCACGCCGAAUUUUAACUUCAUACACAACUUUAUUUGUGAGUAAUAAAAACAAAAUUUUCUUGCGAAUAGUGCACUAUGUAAACAUACUUUGGUGCUAGCUGGAACUCCCAUAUAGGUACUGGAUUCCUCAACCAGCACCACGAAGCGGCAUGAUUUGGGAACUUCCUCGAUGCAUUGGCUCGAAUCGAGUCGCUCCCCAUCACCUCUAUACCACCAUCGAUUAAUCCAAUAACAUCUCCGAAAGCACAAUUCAUAUAAAUAUCAACCAAAUAUCGGUUAACAGUUUCAUCAAAUAUUCAUCAGAAACCAACUCCAAGGAGAUGUUGUGUUGUCACUCACUGUAGAGGAGAACUAAUUACAAAAGAGAAUUCUGCCUACCAAUGUUGUUCAUUGGGAUGUCGAGGAUAUCGCCGCCACUGCCACCUCCAUGCGAGAGAGCCAUAGCCGCCACCGGAUCUACCUGCAAGAGAUGUUGCCUCCACUAGAUCCACCCACGGAAGCCGCUAGAUCUGCCCGCAGGAGCUGCGGUUGUUGUAGUUGAUGGAUCCGCUUGAGAAACGAAGGGGGGGAGGGCGUUGGAGUCAGGAGGAAGGGUUGCCUUGGCAUGGAAAGGGGCUGGCAAAGAGGGGAGUGUGGAUAAAGAUGAGGGGGUGGGAGAGAAUAGGAAGGGCGGAGAGGAUAAGGAUGAGGGGAGGAAGGAGAUUGACUAAUUGGCGGACCGGUGGGACGGUGAUUUUGUUCUUCCACAUAAGUGUCGGUUUAAUUAAAAUCCACCAACAAUGACAAUUUAAUAGGUGCUAGUUCUUAUUAGAAAUCAACACCUAUAUCUCCUAGCUAGGACUCAUAGGUGGCAGCUCCUUUAAAAACCGGCACCUACAUCACCACAUUUGUGCUGAUUCUCCCCCAAAGGCAUCCCGGUGGCAUGCUCUUGGGUGAAAAGUGCACUAUAGGUGUCUAAUCUAUAAUUUUCGGCACCUAAAGUGCCGUAUUUUUGUGUUUCUGUUGUAGUGGUAAUUAACCAACACUAUUCAUCUAAAAUUUGUCAUUUUAUAACCAAAUUUAGUUUCGACUUGAGAUUUGGAAUGAAUAUAUUUCAUGCUUUAUGCCAUUCUCAAGUAAUUUCUUUCAUGAAUUUGGAGAACAUUAAAUAUGUUUUUAAUGGGUUUUCACUUAUUUGAUUUAUUCACUGGAUAUUUCACGGUAAUGAGUAUCCGAGAUCUGUAUACCGUGCACGGAAUCCUUGUUUGAUUUAAUUCACUCAAAAAUUACAGAUUUAACUAAAUUAAUACAUGCUAAAAUUUGGAGAAAGAGCGUGUUCUAAUUGGAUGAUUAGAAUAGAAAAUUGCUCAGUUAUAAAACAAAUACUAUAAAUAAAAAAGUUAAAUUAUAUCAUAUUUGUUUUUUAUGGGAUGGAAGAGGGAGUAUAUAUUUCCACGCUGCCCUUUAGUAUACACCUCCAUUAAUUGACCGUAAAUUUAGAAUAAGGCCAGCAUUAGUGGCAGAUAUUAAGAACGCAAUGACACGGCUAUUUAUAGCACGAUCCAAUGCUGUAGAGUAAAGCUGCACAUACCACAGUAGUCUAUCUAGCACGUACGUAGUACAGUAGCUAGAGACAUGGGCGACAUGGUGCUUCUCGCCACGCGCCAAGGGGUAGUCUGCCACAGGCACAGGCUGCCGGUGAUUUCAUGUGCCACAAACACAAAGCCGUCGAGGCUUAAGCUGCCGCCGGGGCCAAGCACGCUGCCGCUGAUCGGCAGCAUCCACCACUUCGUGUCGUCGAGCGAGAGCGUGCACAGUGUCAUGCGGAGGCUGGCCCGGGAGCACGGCCCCGUCAUGCAGCUCUGGUUCGGCGAGGUGCCCACCGUGGUCGCCUCGUCGCCGGAGGCCGCGCAGGAGAUCCUCAGGAGCAAGGACCUGGCGUUCGCCGACCGCCACCUGACCAGCGGCACCGACGCGUUCAGCUUCGGCGGCAGGGACGUCGCGCUGGCGCCGUACGGCGAGCGGUGGCGCCACCUCCGCCGGCUGCUCACGCAGGAGCUGCUCACCGCGGCGCGGGUGCGCUCGUUCCAGCGCAUCCGCGAGGAGGAGGUGGCGCGGCUCGUGCGCGACGUGUCGGCCGCCGCCGCUGCAGCGCCCGGCACGGCCGUGAACCUCACCGAGAUGAUCACAAGGCUGAUCAACGACAUCGUGCUCCGGUGCUCCGUCGGGAGCCGGUCCAAGUACAGCGAUGAGUAUCUGGCUGCGCUAAACGACAUGGUAGGCCAGACGUUCUCGCUCAGCGUCGCCGACCUCUUCCCGUCGUCCAAGCUCGCGUCCAUGGUCGCGACGGCGCCACGGAGGGCGCUGGAGACCCGCAACAAGAUGGAGCGCGUCAUACAGCAAAUCAUUCAAGAACGGAGGGACCAAAUUGAAGCGGACAUGGCGAGCGGCGAUCAGGUGACGGCGGCGGCGGGGAGCAAGUCAUGCUCUCUCGACGUCCUGCUCAGGCUCCAGAAGGAAGGCGGCGCACCGAUGCCAAUUACAAAUGAUGUUAUAGUUGUGCUUUUGAUGGUAAGCCAACAUCACACAUCUCUAUAUAUCCUAUAAUUAAUUGUAGCACGUAGAUUAAUUACUAUAAGAUUUUAGAUGAUAUAUUCUUGUGAUUUUUUAGUUUUCUUUAAUAGUUCAUAUAUAUUUUUUAAUGUUUUACACUGACUUAUUUAGAUGUUUCAAUUAGUAUUUACUUAUAUUUUAUUAGUUCAUUUGCAAAUAUUGCACGUGGUAAUCCAUGAAUGUUUCACCAAGUAAUAUGUGAUGAUUCAAUAGUUACCACAUAAUGUUGCGUUUAUGAACCUUGUUAACUCCACACAAAAGUAGAGUUGAUGGGAGUAGUUUCAAUUGUUACCACAUAAUGUUGCACUUGCUAACCUCACAUGUCCUUUUUUUUCUUAAAAAAAAUAUGGGAAUUAGUGUGGGGUGGUGGUAGAAUCACCAUCACUACUACUCCCAUUUAUAAGGAGUAUAGAUAAUGAUAUUUCAACAAAACAAAGCAAAGGUGGUCCUUGCAAAUAUAUUAUUUCCUUUGAUGUUUCACUAGUUAGGACCCACCGUUCAAGUAGUUGUUGCCAGUGUUGUAGUUAGUACUCCUUAAAUUUUACAUUAGUUUGAAACAUUUUAUGAAGUGAGUUGAAAUAUUUGACUUCAAGUAAUGAAACAAUUUUUUUGUAUGUGGUAAAAUAACACCCGUUUUGUCGACAAAAUUAUUUACGUCAAAAAUAUAAUCAUGUAAGAUAUUAUUGUAAAUGUUAAAUUAUAAGUAAUAAAAUGGUGUGAUCGGAUUAUUAAUUGGAUAAAUAAUUUAGAAAAAAAUGAUUUGAAACUUUCAAAGUAAUUGGUUUUAAAUGGAUAUCAUAUCGGGAGAGCAACCAUCAUGAAGAGAAGAGAAAGAAGUCCUGCAUAACAUGUAUGCAUGCAUGCAGUGGGACUAUGAGACAAGUCUACGAGUACAAAAAAAUGAGCUAUUGAGAUCAAAUGAGCAAAGCAUACACAACAGUACUGUAAGAUAGUAAUUAAACUAGACGAUAUAGUUAUGUUCUGCUGAAAAAAUGGCAUCAUGGUUAGUGCUAAUAGAAUUAUCUUUAAGCUAUGUGUACUGUAGAUCCAUAUUGUGUAAGUUUAUGUAAAAAUGAAUUAAGAAAAAUAAUCAUGUUAUAUAGUUAUUUAAAAAAAUAUUAUUGCAGGAUAUUUUUGCGGGGGGCACCGAUACAUCGUCAACAACACUGACCUGGACCAUGGCAGAACUCAUUCGUUCCCCUAGAGUAAUGGCCAAGGCACAAGCCGAGGUGCGUCAAGCCUUUGAAGGAAAGAACACCAUCACUGAAGAUGACCUUGCCCAACUUAGCUAUCUCAAGAUGGUAAUAAAGGAGUCCUUGAGACUACAUUGUCCAGCACCACUCUUGGCUCCUCGCAAAUGCCGUGAGACAUGCACGAUCAUGGGUUAUGAUGUACCCAAGGGUACAUCUGUAUUUGUGAAUGCAUGGGCAAUAUGCAGGGAUAGUAAGUAUUGGGAGGAUGCAGAAGAGUUUAAGCCAGAGAGGUUCGAAAACAACAAUAUAGAAUACAAAGGGAGUAACUUUGAGUUUCUACCAUUUGGCUCUGGUCACAGAAUAUGUCCUGGCAUUAAUCUUGGGCUGGCCAACAUGGAGUUUGCAUUGGCUAACCUGCUCUACCAUUUUGACUGGAAGCUACCCAAUGGAAUGUUGCACAAGGAUCUUGAUAUGCGGGAGGCACCUGGACUUAUUGCCGCUAAACACACUAGCCUGAAUGUAUGUCCAGUUACUCACAUUGCUCCAAGCUGCUCAUAAAUGCCAAUGUAACAAAUAAUGCCUCUUCAAAAAGAACAUAACAAAUGUGCUAUCAGAUAUUAGGUUUACGUGAUUCCACAAAAAAACUUAUGUGCCUAAGCGGAAACAUAUAGAGAGCUUAUUUAUGUACUCAUGCUUAAUAAUAUAUGUAUUAGGUGUUGUUGAUGCGAAAAACAUGAGGCCUAGGAGAUCUGCUUAACUCCAGUGCAGGUCCAAAAAUCUUGCCUUUAGGUUCGUGAGCGUGCCAGUUGAUUUGAUCCAGCAAUCAACAAGAAAUAAAGACAGCAAAAUAGCGGUUAAAUCCAUAAAUAAUAGCUGAUCGGCCACUCGCCGGUGAUGUAUCAUUUAUCUUUGAGCCGAUGUCAUAUUUGAAUCGAUCGUCAGUCAUAAAUAGGCAAGAAAGGACUAAAUCUAUUCAAUCGGCUGUAGAUAUCAAUAGUAUAUAAUGCUUUCGUUGAUAUCUAUUUAAAUCAAGUGAUUGGGAUAGAUCGGUCGCCAUGCCGAGACAAUAUAAAUCACUUACAUCGAAAUAUAUAUUAACAAGGAGAUUAUAAGCAUUCAUAGCAUAGCCGAUCAGAUAGAUCUAGCAUGUAUCGGCUAGUACUCCGAUAUCACUCUAUAUUAAGAUAUUAAAGCAAGCAAAAUAUAUCAAACGGGAAGCUUAAUAUACCUAAAUGCAGCAAGAUCUUAACAUAAGGGCGGAUUUAACAUAUCAAUCAAGCAUAUGAGAUAUAAAAGAGUUAAAUCAGGUAAGAUCGGCUGAAACUCCGAUACUACCCUAAUUGGUAACCAAAAGCAGGUUAGAGAUUGAGAUUCUAAUCACGACUUAUAAGAUCAAACUCAACUGAUGCAGCUAUAAGUAUGAAAAGAAGGAAAAUAUCUAGACAAUCAAGCCGUUGAAUGUUUCAUAGGGUGGUGGAUAAUAUAAGGCAACAUUGGUAUUUAACCUAAUCGGUUGCUUUCCAAUGAUAGAUGUUGGCCGAUUGAAGGUUAAAUAACAAUAUUGUCAUAGAUUAUAUAGGAUAUAUGAUAACUCGACGAAUUACAUAAACAAGAUUAGAGUAUCAUAACAAGCUUUACCUCUAGUUGAAGAUCAAAACUGAUGCAGCUCAACCCGAAAGCAAGAACUCGUCGAAAGUAAACGAAAGUAAAAGAGUGGCGAUGCGCCGAGAUUGUAUUGAACGUGUGUUGUUUGAUUACAUGGGUUCAGGCUCCAUUUAUACCCGAGAUACAAAAUAUGUCCUUGCCAGACACUACACUUAUCUCUAUCAAACUCUAAGAUACCAUAAGUCUUUGCGGCAGACUUUUGCCCAAACAUAUCUCUAAGGAAAUUAUAUAAGAUAUCCUAAUUAAUAAAUACAAUUGCCUAAACCGAGAGCUUUUUCUCCAUCGUGGCAAUCCCUAUGAAGCACUUUGAACAAUUCUAGAAACAGCCUUGAAACCGUCUUCAUUGUAAUCGGCUGCAUUACCUCCAUCGGCUGUAUCGGCUAUCCUCUAUCCGAUCCAUCCCAGUCGAUGUACACUCCAGCCGAUACAUUCGCAGCCGAUGCAUACUCUGUUCUUCGAAUCGAUCUCUUCAUCGAAUCUGCCUCGAUCCUAAUGUUGAACCUGGUUCACAUCUUACCAAAUUUGGUCGUUAACAGGUGCUCAAUCAAAUUACAUCCUAUAAAGUAACAAGCUCAUUGUACUUGUAUGUUUGUCCUGCCAAUUGGACAGCCCAUCUCAGACAUGUUUGGUUUUCUAUCAUCCUAUUGCUCCAGCCAAAAAUACAUGUCGGUCUGUACUUUACUUAUUGCAUUAAAGAGUGGGAAAUUAGCAGUUGAUUAGUGGCAUAUGCCAAAUAGGCUUGUCAUCUUGCCUUCUCAUCUAGCUAACAUAGCCCCCUUUUCAGACAAGAAGUUGUGGCGCAUCCAUGCCACGCCUCUUCUUCACUUCAAUAUAGUGUGCAAUUGAUGUGCUGAGAAAAGUGGUGGAAUUGAAGAGCAAGAGCAAUGGAUCGAUUCCCCUUAAUUAAUUUAUGGAAAAAUGUUAAUUGUUAGGCGAAUCGGGCGGCCAGCUGUGCUAGGGUUUUGGCCAAAGACUGAGAUGGCCUGCAUGACGUUGGGGAUGACAAGUGGGCCCAACUCCACCUAUUAGUGGCCAAGCGGGCGUAGCUUGGCUAGUUGAGCCAUGUUUGGGGAUACAGGGUUUGAUUAGUAUGGUAUCCCGAAAGCACACGCAAUCGUUCAAGACUUUGAUCGUAUACAUAUUGAUAAACAUAUUACUUGCAUGAUAAAGCCAAAGUGACGACAGACAAAACAAGUGUGUUGAUAUAAGGUUUUGUGGUACUAUCUACUUCUAUGGCAAUGUUUUACAAUUAAAUCUAUGCCUAGGUUACGAAGGAACAUGAUAUAGCAAAUCAUGGGUUUGGCAAUAAUCACAAUAACUCAAAACAAUACAACUUAAUUAAUCAAAAUUACUCCCUCCGGCCCAAAAUUAGUACCACUUUCGAUUUGUGCCAAAAAUAAGUGACCACUUUAGAGUUCUACUCAUCUCAUUAAUCACCUCUUAUUAAAAUUCCUUCGCAUCUUACUCGAAACUAUUUUGGGUUGGUCUCUAAAAUAAGCAUUAAAAUCUACCAAUUCAACAGUCUAAAUCCUGCCCCAACCCCUCUACGGGUUCUAAGAAAACUUUUAAACAGUGACCAUUUACCUAAAAAACGUUGUUUUCAUCAUCGCGCAGCAUGACCGCUCCGUGUGGCGAAGUGUCGACGACGGUAUAUGGUCCUAGUCAUUUGCUCCAAAGUUUUCCACGAUCGAAGAGCUUUACCCUUGAGUUGAACAUCAAGACCUUGUUUCCUGGUUCAAACUCCUUGAUUUUCAUUCUCCUAUCAUGCCAUCUUUUGGUUUGUUCCUUGUACAUCUUGGCAUUGUGAUAAGCUUUAUCUCUCCAUUCCUCUGGUUCCGAUAGCUAAAUCUGUCGGUGGCAUCCAGCUUGUCCUAAAUCCAUGUUACAAGUCCAAAUCGCCCAAUGCACCCUAUGCUCCAGCUCAACGGGCUAGUGGCAAGUCUUCCCAUAGAUGACAUGGUAUGAUGACAUGCCAAUGGGCGUCUUAUAUACGAUCCUAUAUGCCCAAAGAGCAUCAGGUAGCUUAUGCUUCCAAGCUUUCCCAAUCUCAUGGACGGUUUUCUUCAAAACAUUCUUGAUCUGUUUAUUGGAUGUUUCUGCACUUGUAUAGGGAUGGUAUGGAGUUGCAAUGUUGUGUUGUGCCCUAAGCUCUUGUAAAAAGUUUCAAAAGCCCUGAUGAUAGGCACUGUUAUCAGACCAUUAAAAUAAAUCAGUUUCAAACAUGUCAUUUGGCUGGAGUAGAUAACUUUGCUUUGUGAGGUAAUGCUUGUAAAGAUUUGAGAAAUCCCUAUGCCAUCUAUUUUUUUCUAAUUUUUCAUUAAAAAGUUGUAAUUGCGUUGGAAAAUAGUUGUUGGAUUUGCAACAUUAUAAAAGGAGGAAGAACUGAAAUCAGUGAUGCUCCCAGAGAUGUUCAUCAAAAUGCUGCUUAGUCAAUAUCAUAUUUCAACUUGAUUUUUUUUUCAAGUGAAUUUCUUAUGCCCCCUCCAUUUAUCUUGAAUCAUAUCGUGACACAUUUUCCUUAUAUUAGCAUAUUUGUUGUACUCUUAAUAUAAUUCUCACUUUGUUUUGUAGUUGACAUCUGAUUUUGGACUGGACAAAAUUCAUGCAUGCUUCCCCCUUAAGUUCUAAAUCAUUUCGAUCAAAGGGCAGUGUUUGUCCACAUAUGCAGAUUCAGGGUGCUUUACUUACUGGAUAUUCAUGGAGCUUUAUUUUGUCCACAUAGCAUGUUGUUUUUUUGUUUACUUGUAGAAUGUCUCUGAGCAAAGAUAUCAUGCAUGCCAUUUAAUAUAUUCAAACCUAAUUUUGUUAGGAUGGCACCAUACAAUAUUUUUGAAGCAUGUGUAAUCGAUGUGUUUCUCCCAUUUCAAACUCCAAAAAACGCUACUCCCUCUGUUUCAUAUUAUAAGUCAUUUUAACUAUUUUCCAAAUUUAAGUUUUAACUUUUAAGUUUGACCAAAUUUAUAGAAAAAUAUAACAACAUUUUUAACACAAAACAAACAUACUAUCAAAAUAUAUUUAAUUUUACAUCUAAUAAAAAUAUAGUACGACUUAUAAUAUGAAACAAAUAAACAGGGGUAGUAAGAUUUUACUUCAUUUAGUUAUGGUUUAAUAUGCCUAAGAGCAGAGUUUUCCUUACCGUAUUUGAGACCGUUACCAUAACCUAGCAAUAUCAUGGUUACUAGGGAAACCGUGUGGUUACCGUACGAACCAUGAAAAACCAUGUGGUGACUGCUCGGUUUAGCAAACCCCUGCCUAAGAGUAGAUGGAAAUUUAUGUUGACUUAGUGCUAAGAAAAUAACCAGUACCUAUAAUGUUGGCUAUUUUUAUUUUGACAAUUAUUUUGGGAUAUAUGAUUUAUAAAUUCUGGUUAAACAGAUUAUUUUUGGUAGAUAAUAAUUUCUAAAAUGAGAAUUUUAAUGCACUCAUAUGAUAUAUUUUGUAGAAACGUGUGUUGCACGAUACCAGUAGAUCUGCAGUAGAUGAAUCAGAUAGAAUGAGCUUUAGUAAGAGUGCUCCAGUAUAGAGUGUAAUAGUUUGAAUUAUAUUUAAUAGUCAAUACGGAAACAAAGUGAAAAAAAUAAUUUAUGAUCAGUAAAGAUUUUUAUAUUUAAAUUUAUAGUAGUUUAAAAGUCAAUGCUGAAAAUCGUACUAGGAUGAAACAAAACCCAAAAAUGAACUCCACUAUUAAUUGUAUUUUAAAUUCAAAUUCAGCACCGAGACUGAUAAGAUAGGAACUAAAUAGCCGAUGAGAGGUAGCAUUUUUUCCAUUGCAGUAAAUAGGAAUCCCUGUAGGGGAAGACAUACAGUCUCGUGUACUAGUUUACUAACUAGUAAUCGUGCACGUGCAAUGCACGUUUUUCAUAAAAUAUAUCGUAGGAGUACAUUGAAAGUUUGGAAACUAUAUCUAUCAAAAAUAAUUUAUUCAACCAAAAUUUAUAAAAUAUAUCUCCUGUGUAAUUGUAAAAAAAAGUAUAACCAACAUUAUCGGUACUUGUAAACAUGGGUAUGACUGUCUUUUGUACGAAUUUUGAUAGGAGGGAAUAAAAUAGAACAAAAGCCAGAGGCUAUAUAAAAUUACAAUCUAACAAAAAAACAACUGUACCAGCCCUUUUGCUCUGUAGCUGGUCCACUGCUUGAUCUCGUCAAAAAGAAUUUGUCGACAAUUCGUUGAAUUGACCAUCCCUCUUUCUCGAAGUUUCUAUUAUUUUGUUCCGUCCAAAUUCCCCAGCAGACCAGCAAGAAGAGGGUCCUGAGCCUUUUUCUUUGAAUCUUUUCUGAUGAAGUCUUGUGACACCACCAUUCCAAUACUGAACAGGCCGAAGGAGGGCUUGCUGAAGAAACUUCAGUUAAGCACAGGCUUAUUCCUAUCUGGAUGGCUUAAACUAAUCUACUCUUCAUGAACAAAUGAUGAGAUGUCUCAAGGUUUGAUUCGUAGGGGACAAAAGUAAUUGUAUGGCCAGCCUCUAAGUUAUAAACAGCAACAGUCCAUAUGCGAUUCUAAGCUAGGAGACAAGCAAAAGAUUAAUUUGCACCUCAAAGUCAAAGGGGCCUGACUUCCAAACAGGUUGCAUCAAAUCUGAUCAGAUCAAUACCUUGCCAUGUAUGCUGGCUUUGCCAUGUAGAAUUGUAGAUGCCUAAUUCUGACCAUCGCCAUGAGUUCCUUUGGUGAGUGACAGUGUCACCCCUUCCAGCAAGCAGCGUCAAAUCCCAAAAUAUUCAGUUAAGAACCCCCAUUGAUAGGUCAUGCCAAACAUCAUCUAUCCAAUGAUUGUCAACCGGCAUCCUGUACUGCCAUGUUGUUUCAAAAAUGCAUGAAUAAUGAUUGCCCUAUUGUUUUUAAACUGCACGAAAAGUGUAGCAUUAUAUGCAGUUGGAACAAUGUUGUGUUUCUAAAAACAUGGUUUAGUCCUCAUCCAAGAACCUAGCAAAGGAUUCGAAAUUGGCAAAAUCCUGACAUGUAAACAAAAUACAAAGGACACGAAAUUACCAGUGAUUUCACCAAUUAUUAAAUUCCUUAUUUUAAAUAUACUAUCUUUUUAUAAGCAAAUAUGCAUGUUGAAAUCACUAAAAUGUAGAUCCAGACCCUAAAUUAUACUAUAAUUUUGACAGGCAACACCACAGCAGCAUAAUAAAGCUUCAAUUAGCAAUCAACAAAUCAAGAAAAAGAGUCAAUAUGGAUCAAAGAUAUAGUAGGAGCAGUACAGUACCUUGUCCUGGCACAUGCCAAUGCUGUGUGUAAACCACGGGAAAUGGAAUAGAUGGCAUAGCAUACUACGCACCAGAUGACAUUCACCAUAAUGAUGGCAAUGGUAAGUUUCCUUUUAUAAGGCACUGCUCAGCCCAACUUAAGCAGAUGUACCCCAAUCAAUGAAGCCAACUUAAGCAGAUGUACCUGGAUCAUCAUUGUCUUCAGCAAUGUUAUUACCACUGAAAAAGAAAGGGUGUGUCAGAAAUCAAAGUCAUUUUAUAGAUAACCCAGGAUGCUAAUUAAUGUAGUCUAAUACAGGGUUCAAUAUUUCUCUUUCAGCGUUUAUAUCGGAGGGUGCCGAUGUACUGAAAUUUCGGAAAUUUUGAACAAGAUUUGGUAAAAAAAGAUUUGAACAAAAUGUUAUCAAAUUUACAAAAAAAUAAAAAUAAAUUAAAAUUUCGACCGAAAUAAUAUCAUAGGGUUGUCCGACAGAACCGAAACUUCCGAAAUUUUGGAAAUUUCGUUACAGAAUUUUGAACCUUGGUCUAAUAUUGGUAAUCUUAACAAAGUUAUUCAGCAUUGCAGAAAGUUCACACACACACACACACACAUAUAUAUCAAUAAUGAAGUAAUCAUUCCAAUACCGAAUCAUCGUUGCCAUCGUUGAAAUAUAGAGAUGGCGUACAUAGAGUUUAUACAAUACAAAGUGAUUGCUAGUUGAUCAAAAUCCAUAAAACCUGGUUAAAAAUUUAUAUUAGUAUGUGGAUGAGUACUCUUGGCAGAUUGUUUUUUUUUUAUCAAACUUCUAUUGAUCUAAUUAAUCGAACAAUGAAAUAUGAAAUCCCAAGAACACUUAUCCUUCAAUGCCAUGUAUAACCAAGAACACUCAUCCUUUAAUGCCAUGUAUAACCCAUGAAAUUAUAUUCGAUUUACGACUUACUUAUAAUGGUUUUUCAAUAGAAAAUCAACGACUGAUUACGUCAAUAUAGUAGGGACGGCGCCGACCGGAACACGGCCUUCCCCAUGCGGCACUACUCGCCGACGUCGCCUUAGCCACCAUCACGGUGUCGAGUUCGAACAGCAUGAUUGCCGAGAAGACAAGCUUUUCUAAUGCCAAUGCGAUCGCUAGUUGACUUGAUUAGCUAAUUAAGAUUAACUAGGAAGGUACGAAGCCCGCACAUUCGUGCGGGCAUGUAUUAUAGGUUGUGUUUCAAACACUAUAACGAUAUAAUAUAAACCGGAGAACAUUUUGGGAAUAUAAAUCGGAAAUGAAUUUUGCACAGAUGCACGGGCAUCUUAUUUGUUAUUAAAAAAGAAUGCUAAAAGGAAUCAUACAUCACUACAUAUAUACUAUAUAUAUAUAUAUAUAUAUAUAUAUAUAUAUAUAUAUAUAUAUAUAUAUAUAUAUAUAUAUAUAUAUAUCUAUAUAUCUCAAGAUUAAGAUUUUUAUGUGGUACCUACUUAAAGGGGUUAUUCUAAUAAAGGAUAACUUAUCUAGGAGAAAUUGGCAUGGUAGUUUGAAAUGUUGUUUUUUAAGAGAAAUGAGACUAUUCAACAUUUGUUUGUGAAGUGUCACUAUGCAAAAUUUCUUUGGAGAGCUCUACAGUUUACUACUGGUUUAUAUACUCCUCAUACCUCAUAGUAUAUAAAAAAUCUUUGAGAAUUGGCUUGUGGGAGUUAAUAAAAAAUCUACCAAACUUAUUCUUGUUGGAGCAUCCGCUAUAUAUUGGGCUAUAUGGUUGUGUAGAAAUGAUAUGAUUUUUGAUAAAUCACCAUCUAUGUCCUAUAUGCAGGUUCUUUUUAGGGCAACAUACUGGCUCCAGUUCUAGGCUCAGCUACUAAAGUGUGAUGAAGAAAUCAAGUCAGUGAAAGCUGCAUGUCGUAAUCUUGAGUCAUUGGUUAUGCAGCUGUUCGCUAACUUUGGAUGGAGAUUCACAAAUAGAAUUUAAUAAUUUUUGUGAUCUUUUUAUGCUGUGUGAGUUUUUAUUAGAUUGUCUGUGCUUUUGUUUAUUUAGGUGUGAGUUUUUGUUGAGUUGGUGUAAUAAUUGGCUGUAGCUAUUUGAGUAAAGGCUGGGAUUAUAUUCCAUUAUCAUAUAUAUAUAUAUAUAUAUAUAUAUAUAUAUAUAUAUAUAUAUAUACACUACAAGGGAAUUUAGAUUAUCCUACAAUAAAAAAAGAAAUAUAUUUACCGUAAGAUAGACGGUAGAUUUUAAUAUACCACUAAUGUAAUAAGAAUGUCUCUCAUAUUUAAAUAAAAAUCCCUUUGUCCUAGUCAUAUAUAAACUAGUUGUUUUUCAUCACUACUUACUAUCGUUGUUUUAAGAGUUAGGUGCACUCUUAAUAAAUGAAACUGUAUUAGUACCACUAAAAUAAAUGAUACAUUAUUAAUACACUAAAAAAAUUCAUCUACACUGUAUAACCCGGUGUUCAUCAGUUAUUUUCACUUCUAUGUAUAAAUAGUCUAAAUAUACCGUUAAAAAUAAACACGAAUGCCUCUCUAACGGAUAAAGUCUAUAUAAAGUCGACUGUAUCUGCUAACCAAUGCUUUUGUAUAUAUAUAAUGCCUUGAAACAUAUAGGUCCCACAUUGAUGUAGCCAUGCCCCAAAAAACCAUCCUAGAGUACAAUUUUAACACUUAGUUCACUAUCCGUACACUCACAAAUGAUUAUAUUUGUAAGUAUGUUACUUUAGUUACAUUGCCUAUGGCGGCCUUUCACGGAUAACACCUUAACUCAACCAUGUACAUACCCCAUGCAAUAUUUACGAUGGCAUAGCAAGUACUGUGCCUUGCAUUCAAGGACAAAGAGGGAUAGAAAAAAAGGAGGAAGUGAUGAAAACAUUUUUUUUUUAAGUUUUGGGUCGAUUUGUGAUAGAGAAUAGAAAAAAUGUGUAUAUAAAGUUACUAAUAGGUACUUCUCAAAUUUUAAUGGAAUACAUAAAUAUUAUGUUUUUCAAAUGAGCAGGGUUAAUCAUUCGACACUACUCUAACAAAAACUAUAGCUAAAGAGACGUACCGCCAUGAAAAUCUGCAAAACACCAUAUCGUUAUUUAUAUUUUGAUAGAGAUUAUACUUUAGCGUCAGAUUUGUUUCCACCAUAUGUUGUUUAUAACUAUACGAGACUCAUUUACAAAUUCUAAGAAUGUACUUAUUUUCACAAACUUAUUUACACUAACUAAUUCGCUAGAGUGCACGUACAGUUCGGUUCAAUGGUGUCUAACAUUCAUCCAUCAAUUGUACCCAAUAUAUUAAAAUUUCUAUCAUCUAUAAAAAAUAAAACAUAAGUAGUUUUACGCGUAUUUUAUUGGAUUAUUCAUGUUUUGCCAAUACUACAUGGCAAAGAAAAUACAUAAUUCACGUGAUGAAUUAAGGGUUGUAUUGUAGCAAAAUAAUUGUCUAAAAUCUUAUUUAUUUAUUUAUUUUCUCACAUCUAUCUAUCAUUUAUGCUUCUCACUCCUCAAAUAGAAAAAAAAGUUUUGAAAAAAUUCAGAUACUUUAAUAAUCUCAAUUUCACCCAAAAUAUACCUAAAAAUAUCCACUUAAAAACCAAAUUUAAAUUCUGUUGUUUUAUUAUCACUGGCUAAAAUUUAAUUUAUUUUUUCUCAACUAUCUAUUAAUUGUGCUUCCCACACCUCAAAUAAGAAAAGUUUUGAAAAAUUCCAAAUACUUUGAGAAUCCGAUCGAGUCUCUCCCAAAAUUAAAUAAACCUAAACAGAUGUACUUAAACAACAAUGCUAGGUUUUGUUAUUUUAAUUUUUACAUAUGUAGGUUCAAAUUAACGUUGUAUAUUUUGUCAAGUGAUAUUUGACACCAUAAAAUAUGAUAUGAAAUUAUUUGAAACAUUAUUUUCGCAUUAACUAUUACAUGUUGGUGUCAUUCGUCAUGAUAUAUUUAUCACUACAAUAAGUUUAUGAUUAAGUUUAACUUUGCACAUAUGUGUAGUAUUAUUUUUAAUAAAAUCGUAGAUUAAAGGCUAUUGAUAACAAAUCAGUGACCGCACUGAUGAUUUUUCCUGAUUAGUAUUUCUUUCUGAUUCUACUAUGUACGUGUGCAUGUUUUCUUUUUAUUUUUUGGCUUUAUCUUUUUUCGAUCGUAUAUGAUGUAGGUAUUUAUGUUUUGUGCUUUUUGGGAGGGAGACGAUCGUACAACAUAAGCACGCUAUGUUUUUUUUCCCUGGAUAGAGAUUAGCAACAUGGGAUUUUUAAGAGGUCUAAUGCAAUGUUUAAAAUAACGGGUCUACUAACUAAUUUAAGUGAAAAUUGAAGGUUGAAUGCUUUUAUUUUUUUUACUCUAAAUUUCUAGGAUUUCUCUAAUUUUAUUAGAGUGCCACGUGACAAUGCUAGAGUAUUCGCAGCAUAUUUAAUAGACUUUUAGUAUAUAAUAGAUUUCUCGGAUUUCUCUAAUUUAUUUGAGAGCACGUAGUGGUGUAAAAGUGUUUCUACAAAGUUUAAUAUAAUUUUAGUAUAUUUAGAAGAUGGUUAAAAUAACAUUGAUUGGACAUUUAUUAUAGAUUUUAGUUUAACUACAUAUAUUUAUAUUUAUGAAGUAAUAUAUUUUAUCUUUAUAUAUAUAUUAUAGAAAAUAUUUUAAAGACCGUUGAUUUUUAUGGAUGUAUGUUUUUACCGUCUUUUUUAUGAACAUGCGUAUGUUUUUUUUCUUCCAACGAAGAUUAGGAAAGGUUUAUUGUUUUGUUUUCAUUCAUGUAUAUUCGUAAGUACAGAAAGAACAGCAAUAGUAUUUGUAUCGUACGAACUCGUACGUACACGUACGGACAGUAGUAAUAUGGAUUAUUAUUUCCUAUAUUUACCCAUGAAUAUACGUAGAUGACUUAGAUGUAUAGUAAAAUAAUAAAACAAAACCUAUAUAUUAACUCUAUGUUUGUUAUAAACACGAGGAAGUUAUUAUUUUUUAAUAAUAGAUCUAAUCUAAUGGUCUAUAAUAUCGGGUCACCAAUUUAAGCGAAAAUCAACGGUAAAAUUAGAUAGUGCCAUGUAGCGACUUAGAAGUGUUUGUAGGAGUGCCACGUAGCGAUUUAAGAGCGUUUAUAGAAAGUUUGAUGGACUUUUUAGUAUAUAAUAUAUAGAUUUUGUUCGUGAUGACUUGAUAUUGCAACGUAUUUGAAGCAAGAGAAAGGACAUCAAGACAAAUUCGACCGAUCAUAUGUGACAAAUUCAAUGAAUUAUCAUGUUUUUCUUGCAAGCUUUGUUAUAAGUUAAAGCUGCAGUAUAUUGUGAUGAUCUUUGAUCUGAAAAGUACAUUUCUUUUUCUCUGGCUCGCACUUCUAACACAGAUUGAGCUCACCACACAUUGUAGAGUUUUGUAGAUUUCUAAAAAAAGUGAAAAACAGAAUUUGGAAGGUCCGAUGGAUGUGUUGCUUUCUGGCUUAUAUAUUGGAUCGGUUGAUACCACCUGUGGAGAAACCAUUUUUGGUCGGUCAGCCAAAUUCAACCAUAGUUCCGGUUGCAAUAAAAAACCGGGACUAAAGAUUAUCUUUAGUCCUGGUUCAAAAGGUUAGAGCUACUUUUUUUUAUGUUUAGUCCCGGUUGGCAUUUUCAACCGGGAUUAAAGUUCUAUUUCUAGUCCCAAUUGGUAACACACCAACCGGAAAAAAAGAUCCCUAUUACCAACCGGGACUAGAAAUAGAUGUCUAGUCCCGGUUGGUAACCUAAACCGGAACAAAAGAUCGGCAUGCGCGGUGGAGAGGACGAGGCGUGAGUGUAAUCGAGGAGUUGAUAAAUUCUAUCUCCUCCUCCCUAACAUUAUCUCUUCCGCCUCCCAUCUCUUCCUCUUCCUCCUCCUCGUCUCCCCAUUCUGUUCCUCCCCUCUAUUCCCCAUUGUCAGCGGCCGGGCGGCGGCGGCGGCCGGGCGGAGGCGAAGGCGGCCUCGCGCCGCGGUGGCCAGUCGGGCGGCGGCGGCGGUGAGGCGGAGGCGGAUCCGGAGGGGAGGCUGCUGGGCGGCGCCGGUGCGGCGGCAGGCGGUGGAGGCCGGCGCUGCCAUGUAUUUUUUUUAUCUUUUUUAUCUUUUUUACUUAAUAUGCGAUUCGAUCUGUGUUGAUUGAUACGAUAUGUGAUGAACUAUUGUGUGAACGAUUUGGGAUAAACUAUUGCUGUGAAUGAUUUGGAUGAAUUAUAUUGCUGUGUGCUGUGAAUGAUUUGUUGUGAAUGUUUGAUCUGAGAUAAUGCUGUGAAUGUUUGAUAUGAGAUGAUUUGGGCAAAUAGCAAAAGAACAGUGAAAAAGAAAGAGAGAAGAAAAAAACCCUCCAACUGGGACCACAUCUUUAAUCCCGAUUGGUAUAUUUAGUCCCGAGUAUUUGAACCGGGACUAAAGAUAGCGAUUUUUAGCCCUGGAUUCUUACUCCCGGUUGGAAAACUAGGAUUAUAUUUUAGGGGGUUUCCAACCGGGAGUAAAAAUCGUUUCUCCACUAGUGUACGUGGACGUAUUGCAGUAGUCUGAAUAAAAUGGCUGGAGUGUAGGGGACUGAUAUGCUAUCCUGUAGUAAAAAAAUGUUGAAGAGGUAAAAAGGCUUAAGAGAUUUUCUCUCAUGCUUGGUGGAGAGGAAUAUGUAUCUCUCCAUACAUGAUAUAUAUACAUCUCCUUUUACCCACCAUAAAACGUGGUAUCAAAAUUAAUCUUUAUAAAUACUUGUCACAUUUUCUUAUAUUUUUUAGAGUUAUACAUAUAUGUGCCAAUUAUAAUGUAUAUACCUUGCUAGAGGUAUAUACUCUGGAUUAACACGGAGAGUUAUAUAUACCUCUCUAUACCUUGCAACGAGAGAAAAAGUCUUGCCCCUGCUAAUCAAACUAUCACGGAACCCUGGAUAGGUGCCGGAUUUCUCAACCGGCACCUAGAACCGGCACAUAUGAGGAAAACCAAAAGUAUCAGUUGCAAAACCAGCACCUUAGAAUAAAAAAAAAGGCGGCUCGAUUCAUCGGCUCGAUCAAGCCAAUACAUCGAGCAACUCCCCUUCACCUCGCCCCGAAUGCAUGGAAGAACAUCAAGAACAUUCUUCCCAGCCAUAAGAAUACAAUCACAAAAUACACAUCAAGAACAGAUAGAUAAUUAACAUAAAGAGCCUCUGGUCGACACCACCGCCGCUCGACACCACUGCCACGCUGCCGCCUCCUCCCCUCGGGCGCUGCCACCUGCCACCUACUCCUGAUGGGGAGGGUCCUGGCGCCACCCAUCGCCUCCCUUCCCACUAGAGGGAACAGAGCUGCCACUGCCGCCGCCACUAGGUAGAGAUAGAGAGAGAACUUACGAGAGAGAGAACGAGAGAUAGAGAGAGAGGAUUGAGCCCUCUCAGCCUUAUCCACUCGAGACCACCGGUCGGCUCGACUCCUUUUUUUAGUGUAGUGUUGACACCUACACAAUAUUAUAGGUAUCGGUUUUUAAAUAACUGUCAUCUAUGAUAAAUUAAAUGUGCUUGUUAUUUUUAAGAAAAAAGGUAUUAUAGGUGUCGGUUUUCUUAUAGAACCGGCACUUAUAGUCUCUUAAAGAUGCUUCUUUUUUGUGUUUUUAAUCUGCAGAGGUGGGAAAUGGAUUAUAGGUGUUGGUUUUAUCACUUCUCGCGCGUACAACGCUGACCUCUAUGUGCCUUUUUUAAGGCUGUGUUCGGGAGGGCACGCAAAACAAAGCACCUAUUAUUAUAGGAUUAAUUAAGUAUUUGCUUUUUUUUCAAAAAUUGAUUAAUAUGAUUUUUUAAGCAACUUUCGUAUAGAAACUUUUUGCAAAAAAAGUACCGUUUAGCAGUUUAAAAAAACAUGCGUGCGGAAAACGAGGGAGAGAGGUUGGGAAAGGGAGGUAACGAACGGAGCUUUAGUAAUGUCAGAAACUUGUUUCCUAAUAAGUUUAACCAGUUUAAUUGUUUAAAUCUGAAAUUGUGAGUAGGUAUAUACCUCUUCAAAUAUGGAAGAAAACCUCAAAGGUUAAAUGGUUUUUGCUUGCAAGUCAUGUUAGUUCAUUGGAAUUAAAAAAAUACGGUUCAAUAGAUACCGUAAAAAGUACAGGAUGUUUAGUUCUAUACCACCGACAUUUUUGGCUUCACCUUAUUACCGUAUAAUUGCUCCAUGGUGCAUGAACGUACUAAUUCCUGCCAUUUACCAAUUUCUCCAUUAUUUUGACCAUUUUGCCGUCCUUAUCCCUUUGAAAAGAUACCACACAUUUAUCCAAAGAAAAUACUUAUCGGAAGCUUGGAGUUAACCCCUCUCUGCACCAAUGACUUAAUUGCAACAUGUUGUCAUGACUGUGGUAGCAUAUACCGAGUACUCUCUCCGUGUGAAAAAAAAAAGACAAACCCUAGGUUUUCGUGUUUAACGUUUGACUGUCUGUCUUAUAUGAAAUUUUUUUAUAAUUAGUAUUUUCAUUGUUGUUAGAUGAUAAAACAUGAUUAAUACUUUAUGCGUGACCUAUCUUUUUAAUUUUUUUAUAUCUUUUUCAAAUAAGACGGACGGUUAAAUGUUGGACACGGAACCCCAUGAUUUGUUUUUUGGAACGGAGGGAGUACGUAUAAAAGGCCAUUGCGUCCAUUUAUCCAUCCACACACGCACAACGCCUUGCCACCAGUUCGUCUUAUAUUCAGCUAAUUAAUUCAGUUUCUAAGUGCAAUGAUAAUCAUCUAACUUCAGGCACAAAUCAACCUGAUCACCAUUGCGCGUUAGGGUUAGGAUGCAUUCGGGAACAAAGACGUACGAUGCUCUUCCUUGUUUGUAAAUCUUUCUCUGCAAAGUCAGAAGGCCAUGGAUCACGGAAUGGUGCUCGGAAUUGCAGAGCACAGCAACCAUGUCUAUGCGGUCAGGGUGCGGCGGUUCAUGUGCAGUUUUUGUUUUGGCAAAAAAAGAAAAGAAAGUUAUGGAAUGAAGUACGCCGCUUAUCUUUUUGUUCGGAAUGUUGCGAAGCUCUGUACUGGUGCUGGAAAACCAUGGUAGCUUCUGUUUCGUUGUCAGUAGUUCUCUGUAGAAUCGUUGUCGUUUUCCUUUCUUGUAGAAGACUUUGUUCCUGUUCUAGGCUUUCUUUCAUAGACAGGUAAAGCAAAUUACUAUUUUUUUUAACAAAAGAAACUACUAACACCGAUGGAGGCUAUCCCACAUCUAUUGGAGUGUGGAAUUAUUCUCCCUCAGUCCCCUCUAACCCCUCUCUCUCUUGGUGCUUAAACGAACAACCCCUAAGGCUUUGUUUGGUUAAUUCCUAUUGUGGUGUGGAAUUAUUCUCCCUCAAUCCCUUCCAAUUCUCUUCAAUCCCCUCUAAACCCAAAAAGGCCUAAAGGAUGAUGGAGGCAGCGGGGCAACGGAUUGUCAGUUUGUGCUUAUUGGGCAAACUUCUAUUUAUUGCUCGCAAUCUCAAAUCUUUGAAGAACAUAUUAAAUGUUUUACUAGAACACAAAAUAAAAUAAAUACAGUAUUUUGUUUAUGAGGUUUGUCCUAAAUGUAUCAGUGAAAACUUACGUGCUUUUACCCGAAAAUAUAUUUUGAACUAUGACAUGUGUCUGAAAUAUGUAUCAGUGAAUGAACUCAUUCUGUUACUUAAUUAUAUAUGAGAAUUAAAACAAACUUGUGUGGGGGUACGUUUCAUUGUUGAGGGUUACUUUCAGAAAGAAAACAAGAAAAGUCGCAUUGUUAUUAGAUAUAGAGUAAAGUGCACCACCGAUCCUUAAAGUUGAAGCGUGGUGUCACUUAGGUUAAUGAUCUUGUAAAAUCAUCAUUAAUGUAUAUGAACUUGUUUAAGACUUAAGUGAAUCGGAUUGACCGUCCUACGUGGCUGUCCAGUGUGGUCAGAAUAUUCUUGUCUUCUUGGUUAGUUAUUAAAAAAACGAAGGAUAAUUUCAUGCCAUCUUGGUUAAUGGUAUACCGUGAUAUUUCCAUACACCAUCACAGUAUCGUGAUGUAUUCAUUGAUGUCUGAGCUUUCAUGAUCAUCAGUGAGCAAGUAUAGUAGUUUGCUGUUGAGACUGCACGGUAAAUCUGCCAGAUUAAAUGGCUAAACACAAAUAUCCAGGAAAUGAAGGCGACACUCUAAAUAAUUUGUCCUGCCCAAAAUAAACUAACUCUAAGGUGAAUUAUGGCACAAACAGGUUGUUAUAGUUUGAUUCGAAUAAUUCUUAAAAAUUAGACUAUAAAGUAAGAUUUUCAGUUGCAACUUCAGUUAAGAUAUGCCUGGCUAUAUCUAUUAUCUAUCUAUUAUAUACUAAAAAUCCAUUAACCAUCUACAAACGCUCCCAAGCUGUCAUGUGGCCUCCUACAAACUUUCAUAAGCCGCCACAUGGCGUUCUAAUAAAUUAGAAAAAAAAAGGUGGACCCACUAAUUUUGCCAAUUAAAUCUCCAUCUAAAAGAAAAAAAUCCGGUAUCCCCACCACCGUACGCACGCACGUACAAGUACUCCCCUCCACACCCUCCGAACUCUCCCCUAUUCUCCUAUUUUUUAGCUAACUUCUUUUAUUUUAUAGCUAACACUUAAUAUAUAAAAAUGAUAAUAAUCGGUUAUCUAAAUCUACACAAUUGUCAAGUUACAUUUUUUUCUUAUUUUUUUCAACUGUUGUGUUAUUUAUCAAUUAAAUACCAAAUUCAAGAUCUAUAUGACCCAUAUUUUGUUAUUUAAAAAUUAAAAAUUAGAUCAUGUGACCUCUAUCUAAUUAUUGAGUUUUUAUAUGAUUUUGUCAGUUAAAAAAACAAAGGAGGUGAGGAGCAAGAAGGACAAAUAGAUGCGUACGUACAUGCACGUCUCACAUACAUGUCUCACGUACGUCUCACGCCUUUUUAUUUUUUAAGAUAAUUCUAACUAGGUAAAAUAAUGGGUCUCUCAUCUUUAAGUUAAAAUCGAUAGUUAGACAUAUUUUAGAUUUUUUAUGAUUUUAUCUGAUUUGUUAUACUGUCACAUAAUGGUUUAGUAGCGUUUGUAGAAUCACACGUGGAAUGUAUAUGCUUGGUGCUCUAAUAAAUUAGAGAAAUCCUAGAAAAUCAGAGAAAAAAAACAUUCAACCUUUAUUUUCACUUAAAUUGGUGGACCCGUUAUUUUAAACCGUUCGAUUAGAUCUAUUAAAACUCCCACGCUGCUAAUCUCCAUCCAAAAAAGAAUAACGUACGUACGCAUAGUAUAGUUCGUACGAUCAUCGCACUUUCUGAAAAAAAAAACUUAAUUACCUACGUCAUAUACUAUGGAGAAAAAGAUAAAUCAAAAAAUAUAUCAAUAGUAAAAUCAAAGAAAUACUAAUCAAGAAAAAAACAUCAAACCAGCCUUCCGGCACUUUAUGUGUUGUCAAUAGCCUUUAAACUACGAUUUUUGCUUCAAUUCAUAAGAUGAUUAGAAAGAUGAUUAGCAAGGUAAUUAUGUUUAAUCUAAUGGGGGUAUGGUUGCAUGCAGCCGGCGGAGCCCGGGCAGCUGCCCAGGGUCGCCGGGCCCUGGCUCCACCGCUGAUAAAUUGCAUAUAUAUCAUGUAGUUCAAUACAUAUUAAUUUAUAUCCAUGUUUCUGAACUUGCAUCCCAAAUCAUAUCAAAUAAUAAUCUUUAUUACAAUGAAUAUAUAUAGUUCAGGUCUUCACAUAUUUUGGCAAUCCAUUGCAUUCAAUUUCCAUAAUACACUUAGACAAGAGAGCCGGUUUUUAAGUGAACCUGUGGUACAUGUGUAGGGUUAGGAGGCACUGGGAACCAAGAUUAUGCAGCGCAAUUAUCAAUCCUAUAUUCUUACUCCUUUGCUCGAUGGCGAAGUUGAUGAGGUGGAUACCAUGGUCUCCUCCACAACCAGGUUGACUAGCUGCCUACUGCCUGGACCAUGGAUGAUUGGAUGCACUGGCUAGCGACAAUGUUGGGGUGUCUUGUUUGCUUGGAGUGCCUCCAACAUUCGUGCUCUGCCACAGACAAAAAGGACUGAUAGGCAUGAUAUGCUCGUGCCCUUCCACACUAGGUGGCAGAUCAUGGCAGGACGGUCAUCGGGGGUCAUUCAUGUGUUUUGUGCGAUGAAGAAUCGAUGCAUGCAAUUUGGAGGUUCCAAAUGGAAAUGUAGAGGGCCGCAAUUCGUUUGGAACUUUGGACUCAUUGGCAUGUAUACAAAUUAGCUGCGCUUUCAGGUAGGGCUACCACUAUAGGUAUCUAUUAACCUUACCCAUACUCAUACCCAUAAUAUUUGGAGAGGGUAUGGGUAAGAAGAAUUUACCGAUUUAAGAAUUGGGUAUGAGCGGGUAAUACCUAUUUUAUCCACUUUAUUUUAUUCAUUUUUUAGAAAUAAUGUGUGUGUAAAUAUCAAACCCAAAAGUUCUAAACUCGCAUUCACACUAUAAAAUCUUUUCAAAUUCAGUUGAGUUUUGUAGGGACAAUUUAUUAUAUAGAGCAUCAACUUUGUGUAUUUUUGAGCAAAUUUUAUAUAUGAGGCUCACAUGUUUACCCAUAUCCCAUAUCCAUUGAAUAAUAUCAACUUUAUCGAUCUCAUAUCCUUAAAAUGUCGAGAUCGAGGAAGAUGGUACCCUCGCCAAAAGGGUAGUUGUUGGUCAAUCGUCUCGUUACUCAUGAGAUGUUGUCGCAAUCAAGCGGGAAAAAUAUCAAUGUGAUGGCGUGUAAUCUGGACAUCGGACAUACCUAUGUUUUUGGAGUGAAGAACUGCCAAGUGCUCCUCGAUGUAAGGAGCCACCAACGAAAAUUGUUGCAAAACCAUAAAAUGUGAUUUACAGAAUAAAUCGUUGUACAAUCAUUAAUGUUUUCCUUCCAAGAGUCCCCUUUCCCCGUAGUCUCCCCUCAUGGCUUGAUUCGGGGACCCCAAUUAGACGAAGGUCUUCAAUAAAUUAUACGCAUAACUCAAUGACCUCCUUUGUUACAUACCCUUGGCGAUGGUUGCUUGCGGACGAGAACGGUUAUGAAUGUACUUCUUUAGAACGCCCAUGUACCUCUCGAAAGUGAACAUUUUGUGUAGGUAUACAGGACCGAAAAUACCGAUCUCUUUGACAAGAUGACAUAGAAGAUGCGCCAUUAUAUUGAAGAAGGAUGGUGAAAAGAUCAUCUUAAAGCUAACGAGACAUUGCACCACGUCAUUUUGAAGGGUUGUCAAUCUGUCUGGAUCGAUAAUGUUCUGCGAAGUUGCAUUCAGGAAUGCACAUUGCUUUGUUAUUAUUGUCCGGACAUUAUCAGGAAAGAUACCCCGAGAUAUCACAGGAAGCAGCUUUGUCAUCGACAUGUGACAGUCAUGAGACUUUAGGUUUGUGAUCUUCUUUUCCUUCAUGCUUAUUAUUCCCUUCAUAUUCAAAGAGUAUCUAGACGGUACCUUGAUGUUGUUCGAGCAUUCAACAUACUUUCCUUCUCUGCCUUGCUCAGAGUGUAGCUGGUUUGACUCAAGUAAUGGCUUCCUUUCUCCUUAGUUAGAUGCAUCACGUCAAUUGCUUGGCGGAUGUCUAAGACUUCCGAAUAGGGUAACUCCCAAAAAAAUAGACUUCUUCUUCAACAUCACCGUGUGGCCAUCUUCACUGGCUAUAGGUUGGCUGCUAGAUCCCUUUCCAAAUACUACUAUCAGAUCUUUUAUCAUAACAAACACGGUUUUUUUUGUUACGAUGUUUAGGCUUCGUACGAUCAUCUGCCUUAAUAAUAAAGUUAUGAAUGUAGCUUGUUGGCACUGAUGGUGUUUAGAGACUGAAAAGAUAUACGUAUUUAAUAGCUAGUUACGUGAACCUAUGUUGUUUCAAAGAAGCUAGGUUUAUGCCAGGGCCGGGAAAAGUAGUUUUUUUUGGCGUAUAGCCAACCUCGAAGCCCAAUUAGCACUCGCUUCGCUAACUCGAAGCGCCUCGCUAUGAGAAUGACGCUUCGCUAACGCUUGGCUAAGUCGUCAAACCCUCGCGCGAACCAUUGAUGCUGUCGGACUGAUAUUGUUUCAGUGAUUUGCAUCUCAGAUAAUUCUAUAUAUUGAUGCCGAUGUUCCACAGCAUGCAUUCCUGACAAUAUAAAAUGAAGCACGGUACUACAAUGAAGAUUUGUUCCAAGAUCGAGCCUUCACAUAAUUAAACAAUCCAACGGGUAUGAAUGAUCAAGAGUGUAGCCACCAAACCACAUCAUUUACGGCCACAUAGGAGAAAAUGCUCCCAGAAAAGCAACCUAUACAUGUUAAAGCGAAGAUUCAAGGCAAUUAAAGGUCCUUGAUUGAGUACUAUCUAAAAAUCAGGCGAUAGGUUUUUUAAAAAAAUCUUUGAAAUGUAACUAUAGUGUAAGCACUGUGUUUUGUUUCUCUAGACAACUAGCGCAAAUCUUAGGACAAAACCAAUGGACCAAAAAUCGAAAGAUAUAUAUAUAUAGAAAAAAAAAUGUCAACAUAUUUGUAGCUUUUCCGCCUUAAAGUGUACCCUUCUAUAUAUAUGGACAACAUGGAGGGUACAACCAAAGGCAUCCUAUUUCCUUAAUACACUCAGACGUCUCUCACACAGCAAGAAACACCUAGAGGUCAAUCAAGUAGGCUGUUUUAGUGAACCUGUAACCUGUUAGGUGUAGGAGGCACCGGGAACCAAGCUUUUGCAGCUCAAGUAUCAAUGCUAUGGCACCAUGUCUUCUUCGCAAGAUGGUAAUGUCGAUAAACUGCUUGUCAUGAGAGAUCAACCAGCUUCGUAGCGUUGUUUUGGUCUUUUGAUGCCCCCUUCUUAAGCAUUGGAACUAAAGCAAGUUGGGAGUGGUCAGGUAUGUCACGGCCUUUCAUGAGCUUCUGCGGGUAAUUUGCUAAGUUAAUUUUCCUUCUUAAUCAUUUCGUAGUGCAGUGUAUUUGAAGCAAAAGGAAGGACCUGAAGAAAAAGUUGAUUGAUCGCUUGCACCGUUUUAAUGAAUUACUUUCUUUUUCUUGUUAGCAUUGUAAUGAUCUGUUAAUUAGAUCUACAAAUUGCUUCCCUUUUUCUAUGCCUAGCACUGGUGAGUGGUGACAUAGAUCGAACUCGCUAGAUAUAUAUUGUGGUGUUUUUGUGACCUUUGAAGAAUCAGAAUUUGUAAGGACCGAUAGAUUUAUUUCUGGUUUACAUAUUGGAUAGUUCGAUAUGUGGACCUAUUGUAGCACUGUGACAUAGAGGACUGAUCUCUGAAAAGGUGAAAAAGGUGAAAAGUUAAAUGUUUCUUCCCGGCAAGUCAGGUUAGUUAGUUCAUUGGAGUGAAAAAAAAUCGUCGAAUUUGUACCGUUAAGUUGCUCCAUGGUCCAAGAACAUGCUACUGCCAUCAAAUUUCCUCCAUUUCUCCAUUAUUUUGUCUAAUUUUUCCCUUCUUGUCAUCUUGAAAAGAUAUGACAUAUAUAUUCAAAGAAAAUACUUACAGGAAAGUUGGAGUUUACUCCUCUGAGUACCAGUAUACCCUGCUUGAUGAUGCUAGUACUCUGCUUGCAUACCGAGAGUCAAUUAAUAGUGUAGUAAAAAAGAAAAGGCUGCCAUAUAGUAGUAUAUAUAUAUAUAUAUAUAUAUAUAUAUAUAUAUAUAUAUAUAUAUAUAUAUAUAUCAGAUGAAGAUAAGGGGUCGAUCAGAACUGCACAGAAGGUUGUGCAAAAGUGUCGAUUUAUCCAACCACGCACAAUGCCCUGUCUCCUGUUCAUGUCAGAUUAAAAACAGCUAGUUCAAUUUUUACAUGUACUGAUAAUAAUCAUCUAACUUUAUGCACAAAUUAUUAGCCUGGUUACCGAUGAACGUUAGGGUUAGGAUGCAUCAGGAUCGAAGAUGUUCUCACUACAGUGUUUUCCUAGUAAUCAAUGUUCCUUCUAUAGACACUGCAGGCUACCCCCAAAGUUGUGUAUCUAGCCAAUGGUAGAGGUCAAUGGAACCACUACUAGUUCCUGACUACCAUAGCUGAUAGCGCAUUGUUCAGUUUGUGGUUAUUGGGGGCAUACUUUAUAUUCUUGAAGUCCAUAUCAAAACAACAAUGGGAUUUAGUUGUAUAAAAAAUUCUUGAUAGGUGUAUGUAAGGUUGAUCGGUUCUGAUUGUUGUGGCAUUUUGGGCCGUAGCUGUCCAACCCAGCUGAUCUCGGCUGCAGCUCAAAAUCCUACAGCCAGCGGUGGAAAACGGAAUAAAAAAGCAAACCCUCUACCCGUCUCUUGUACCUACAUCCAUCCCCUAUAUGCGCUGAAGCUCCUUUACAUCUUUUUUUUUUUUGCCUUUCCAUAUAGGAAGGAGUAGUUACUAUUAUUUACUAAGAAUAAUAAAUAUUUACCAGUCUUGCAAGCUUUAAAUAAUUAUUUUUUGCCUAAAAAAUUAUUUUGAACUAUGAGAAGUGUCUGGUACAUUGUUCAUUUCUGGAUGCAGGUUUGACGUUUUGUUGUAUUAAUGUGUUGUGAUUUUUUUUAUAGUAAAGAUAUUUUAAUCAUCACUUAAUUAUAUUUUUCAUAUAUUAGAAACAGGAAGGAGUAGAAAGACAAUCGUGUUAAGAAAGCUUCCGAAAAAUUAUUGUCUUCCUGGUUAGUUUUUUGGAAUUAAAGGACAACUUCUGGCCAAGUUGGUUAAUGAUACUGUGAUAUUUCUGUCCACCUGGUGUCGCCGAGCGAGAGCGUGCACGGCGUGAUGCGGAAGCUGGCCAGGGCGCACGGCCCCGUCAUGCAGCUCUGGUUCGGCGAGGUGCCCACCGUGGUCGCCUCGUCGCCGGAGGCCGCGCAGGAGGUCCUCCGGAGAAAGGACCUGGCGUUCGCCGACCGCCACCUGACCAGCGCCACCGAGGCGUUCAGCUUCGGCGGCAGGGACGUCGUGCCGGCCCCAUACGGCGAGCGGUGGCGCCAGCUCCCGCAAGCUGCUCACGCAGGAGCUCCUGACCGCGGCGCGGGUGCGCUCGUUCCGGCGCGUCCGCGAGGUGGAGGUGGCGCGGCUCGUGCGCGACGUGUCGGCCGCCGCCGCAUCGGGUGCCGCCGUGAACCUCACCGGGAUGGGAGCCAGGCUCAUCAACGACAUCGUGCUCCGGUGCUCCGUGGGGAGCCGGUGCAGGCACCGGGAAGAGUACCUGGCCGCCCUGCACGCCAUGGUACGCCAGACAUCCGGGCUCAGCAUCGCCGACCUCUUCCCGUCGUCGAAGCUGGCGUCCAUGGUCGCGAUGGCGCCGCGGAGCGCGCUGGCGAACCGCAAGAAGAUGGAGCGCAUCAUAGAGCAGAUCAUCCAGGAACGCAAGGACCAAAUGGAGACGGACACCGGCGGCGAUCAGGCGGCGGCGGUGGAGAGCAAGUCAUGCUCUCUGGACGACCUGCUCAGGCUCCAGAAGGAAGGCGGCCCGCCAAUUCCAAUUACAAACCAAGUUAUCGUCGUGCUUUUGAUGGUACGCAAGCCUCACGUAACUGUACUCACUCCUUCCAAAAAUCUAAUUUCUAUUUUACUUUUUGGUUUUUUUAAAAGUCUAAAUUCUAUUUAUAAUCACUACGUAACUUAAUUAAUAAAUUUUUGAUCAAAACCAAAAAGUCAUCUUAGUACUUAUUGAUUAUAUAUUCAUUGGUUUUAUCGUAUGAUGAAUGGGUUAACUAUAUCUUUGAUCUUGGUGAGAAAAUAAAUAUGACUUGGACUUUGAAAGGAGAGAGUAGUAAUUAUUAUAUUAUGCAUAUAUGGAUAAAAAAGACAGCCCAGGAGGCCAAUUCAGGGAAAUGGAUUAGCGGCACAAAUAAUAGAGCGAAGAAAACAAGCAUUGGUAUCAGCCUAUCAGGAGAUAAUUAAAGCAGAGUGGUGGGCCAGGCCAGUAAUGUCCAUAUAACUCCAGCUCCAUGCCACCAAGCGGCUCUGCUUCACCAUCUCCAAGUCGAUCUUAACUCCAGCGCCAGCCAACUUAAUCCCACUACUCCCCCCAACUCGCGAGCUAAACUAGCUUAAGCCUUGUCCGGAUAAUGUGCCGUGUCGAGCCAGCUCGUCUUAUUUUACUUAUAAAGUUAAUGCGCACUAACUACUGAAACUAAUCAUAUAAGUGUCUCACAUCAUCACUCACUAGCAAUUAUUAUUUAAAGUAAUUUAAAUCACAUGUAAAUAUACCACAUCAUCAUCCACUAAUAAUUAUUAUGAUUUUAUUGUAUGUUUAGAAAUUGAUAUGCAAGUAAUGUCAGAUCAUACUCUCUGCAUCAUUUUCACAUUAUUUGAAUAUAUACAUUUAUUAUUUCUAAAAUAUAUAACAGGUAUUCAUCCAUAUAUUAAUCCAUAUAUUAAGCAGCAAAGCGUAUGGUAUUAUCCUACUGAGCCAAACCGCACAGAGCCGAGCUGGCUCAAUAUCGAUCCUUGGUUAUGCCCAUGGGCGGAGAACCUACAUCUACAAAAUAUAUAUAGAAACAUUAGUAAACCUUUUCUUUAAAAAAGAAUCAGGAAGUUCUAUCAUCCUAUCAUCCUGGCCUCUGUAUCUUUAGGAUACAAAACCAUAAUGUUUUAGAUAAAAAAAAUAGUCUUAAGUAAGGGAUAAAACCUCCUAUGAGAUGAACUAAGCAAAGUUUACACAAGAAAAUAUACUCCCUCCAUCUACUUUUGAUAGUCAUAUUUCAUCUUGGCACACAGACCAAAGAUAAGUAAUUCUACUUAUCAUCUAUUUAAACAUAGUACUAGUCAUUCCUCGUAAACAAGCGAUUCAUUAAUAUUUACAUUUCUCGAUGCUCAUGCAGACAAUCUUGUGUGGAAGAAUGGAGAGUUACACAUUAAAUCCGAGAAAGUCAUUAAGAUUGAUAGGUUGUUGGAUUGAAAUAUGCCUAUCAAAAAUUUUAUUUUUUAGAUUUGGAAAUAUGACUAUCAAAAAUAGAUGGAAGGAGUAUAUAGUAACGAAAAAAAUAGAGUUAAGUGUAGCAUAUAUGUGUAUGCCUAUUAUACAAGUUUAGGCAAAAAUAGAUAAAAAAAUUCAGGUGAAUAAUAAUUAAUUACAAAAAUAUAUCAUUUCAGAACAUUUUUGCGGGUGGCAGCGAUACAUCGUCAACAACACUGACCCGGACCAUGGCAAAGCUCAUCAGGUCGCUGAGAGUGAUGGCGAAGGUACAAGCUAAGCUACGUCAAGCCUUUCAAGGAAAGAGCACUAUCACUGAAGACGAUAUUGGAAAAUUGAGCUAUUUCAAGAUGGUGAUAAAGGAGUCCUUGAGACUACAUUGCCCGGCGCCCUUCUUGAUCCCUCGAAAAUGCCAUGAGACAAGCAAGAUCAUGGGUUAUGAUGUACCUAAGGGUACAUCAAUAUUUGUGAAUAUGUGGGCAAUUUGCAGGGAUAGUAAGUAUUGGGAGAAUGCCAAAGAAUUCAUGCCAGAGAGGUUCGAAACCAACAAUAUAUAAUUCAAAGGGAAUAACUUUGAGUUUCUUCCAUUUGGCUCUAGACGCAGGAUAUGUCCCGGCAUAAAUCUUGGGCUGGCCAACAUAGAGCUUGCCUUGGCUAACCUUCUUUAUCAUUUCGAUUGGAAGUUGCCAAAUGGAAUGUUGCACAAGGAUCUUGAUAUGCGGGAGGCACUUGAACUUCUUGCUGCUAAACACACUAGUCUGAAUGUGUGUCCAGUUAGUAAGAUUGCUUCAAGGUGUGCAUAAGUUCCAGUGUAAUUAGAGGUACUAUAAGAGAUGGGGUCUUCGUAAUUUUUAAACAACUUAUGUACCUAUUUUAGAAAGGCAUAGCAAGCCUACUUAUAUACUGACUAGUAGCAUGCCCGUACUAACGCUACGGUAAUAUUUAUAUUAAGCAACCAAAAGACAAUAUAUAAAAUGAGAUUAAUUUUAAGAAAUAAAAAACUGCCAGAUCAAGAGAAGUAUAACACCAGCGUUCAAAUCCAAGUUCUCUUUGCUACUCUUAUAUACAUAAUGAAAAUUUUCAUCUCGCAGCGGUCAUGAUUCCUUGGCGACGCGGAUUGACUAAAUAAUAAGAAAAUGGAUGCACAAAGACUAAAUGAAUCCUUUCCAAGAUCAGGUUUUGGCUUAUCCGUCAAAGAAAAGGUAGGCAAGUAGUAAUUACAGUCACUUUAUGAUAUUCAAAUCUACCCAGAAAUCUGUAAUGACAAAACUAUUUCCUAAAAAUGAUCAGUAGUCAAUCUCAAAUUGUCCUGAGCAUACUACAUGAAGGUGCAGGAGGAUCUAUCAAUUGAACAACAUUUCAAAAUUGUUAGACAAAUUGGUUCAUGAGGAAUUGAGGCACCAAGAGCAGAUGAAUCGCAAACUCAGCAUAGCAACAGCAGCAGAGGAGGCCAAACAGUUGUCCAUCCCAUGCAGUGGAAUGAAAUGCCCACAUGAACAACGUUUCCAUGUUAAUCUAUUUUUGUAUUUCCUAGUAUGAUCGAUCACUGUUGUCAUUCUUUCAACUCCUAACCAACAAAAAAAUAUAUAGAACUGUAGCUAACAUAAAAGAUCAGGUGAUAGAGAAAAUAAAAGACUUCCGCUCUCUGCAUAUAUGUUACAUUGCAGCAUACACCAAAGCACAAAUCAGAAAAUUCUUACUAAACAGUAAGAUUUUCUUGUAUGCUUCACUUUUCUAGAGUAAAAUAUUAGAAGUACGUCAACAAACAUCACUAAUCCCAUGCAGAUUUCUGUUUCAAGUAACAUGGAUAUUUUGAAUGAAUAAGCAGUCAAAAUCAUAUAGGACACAUACACAGCUUAACACAGUUCUCUUUUGCCUAAAAGUCCAAAGUAGAAAGAAAGUACACAAACUAAAUCAACUUAACUCUCAGAUCAGAAAAGUUCCAUCUAUUACUUAACAGAGUGAUAGGUGCACCAAAAUUCCAUCUAUUACUACAAUGCUUAUGCGCAUUUUCACAAGCAUGUACAGUGCAAAGGGCUAAUACAGUAACCUAUUCAGGAGGAUAUAUAGCAGAGCAAUGUCUGUUCUGGGUCUCUGUGUUGCUACAUUAAUUCGACUGCAGCAUGUCCACAUGGACAAUGUCGACGCGUAAAUCAUUCGUUACCUGGCAAUAUAGGUAGUGUUUGGUUGCAAGGAUGGGAUGAACCCACUUUUAGGGGUGUUUGGUUGAGAGGUGAGUGGGAUGGGAUGGUCCCUGGAGAGGAAUAUUCCUCUCAGAUCCGGGACGAAAUGGUCCACCAAAAUCGGCCGGACCAAUCCAUCCCACUUCGACGGAGAGAACGGUGUCAACUCCCGCAGCCUCCCGCUCGGCUCCGCCGCGGCGCCGCCACAGCCGCUCGUCCCUCCUCCGCCUGCUCCCUCCACCAGCGCCGCUCCGUCCUCCUCCGCGCAACCGCCGCCGCUCGUCCGCGACCGCCGCCGCCUUGUCCGUGUCCGACCUUCGCCUUCGCGACCGGCCGCCGCCUUGUCCGCGACCGACCGCCGCCGUUCGUCCGCGCCUCACCUCGCCUCCGGGACCGGCCGCCGCUCGCCCGCGCCUCGCCUCGCCUCUGGGACCGGCCGCUGCUUUUCCGCGACCGCGGCCUGUCCCUCCUCCGCUUGCUCCCUCCUCCGGCGCCGCUCUGUCCUCCUCCGCCUGCUCCCUCCACCUCCGCGACCGCCCAUGCCACAUCCACGACUGCCGCCGCCUCGUCCGCGUCCGACCUCCGCCUCUGCGACCGCCGCCGCCUCGUCCGUGUCCGACCUCCGCCUUCGCGACCAACCGCCGCCUCGUCCGCGACCAACCACCGCCGCUCAUCCACGCUCGCCUCGUCUCCGCGACCGCCGCCGCUCGUCCGCGCCUGCCGCCACCUUCGCGACCGUCGCCACUCGUCCGCGACCCGCCUCCGCCUCUCCUCCGCUCGCGCCGACGAGUUCCUCCGCUCGCGCCGACGAGCUCCUCAACUCGCGCCGACGAGCUCCUUCGUCCCUAAUCUCACCGGCAGCCUGGAAGCUAGCCACUGGGAGCAGACGGCCCUAACAUCCGUGAAAAAUUGUCCAUCCCAUCCCUCCUCAAUCCCUUCUACCAAACAAAAAACUAUAACCAUUUCAUACCAUAAACCAAACACACAACUGGAACCAUCCCAUCCCAAAAAACUGGGAUGGGUCUAACCCAUCCCACUUGGUCCCCAAACCAAACACACCCUAUUCAAGGUGUUUGGGCAGCACCGCAGCAGCAGAUCCAUUCAAGGUGUGAAGUCAUCCGUACACGGUGGCCGGACGUGGUCGUCAGUCAUUCUAGCUGUGAAGUCAUUCGUACAAGCGUGCAGGAUCACCGCCGCCAAUGUCCCCUCAGAGGAUAUCCUCUCCCAACUUCGCCUGACGCGCGGACCGCAGUGUAUCAGCCGUCGGGGCGCGAGGAGCCGAGGAGGAUCUCCGUUGCCUGGAUCAUAGGCGGUCACGCGGAGUCGCAGAUGAUUGACGCCGGCGGUGGCGUGGCUCGAGGCGGCGGCGGCAUGGAUCGAGGAGGCGGCUAUGGUUGAGGGGAGCGACCGAGAGGAGGGUGUGCAAGAGAGAGAGAGAGAGAGAGGGGAGAGGGGUGCAUACGGAGGGGAGACGUGGGACAAUCUCGAGCCGUUGGAUUCGAUGAUUCUGGAUCGUCGGAUUUGAUGAAUGAGGAUUGUACAGGAGUGUAGUUGGUGAAUUAUAGGGUAGAAGAUGAUGUGUAGUAAAAUAUAUACCAUGUGAACCACAAAAUUACAUCCAUUUAAAUAACGAUAUCACUGUACUUGUAUAUCUGUCCUGCCAAAGAUAGAAGCAUAUAAUGAUGUUAAAUGAUGCGUAGGGUUUAGCAUAUAAGUAUGUUAAAUGAUCUUCACAUAAGUAUUUUAAUGUACUGAUGCAUAGGGUUUAGCAUAUAAGUAUGUUAAAUGAUCAUCCUCACAUCAUUUUUUAUAGUAUUUUAAUAUUUAUAAUUUCUAUAAUAUUUAACAUAUUUUCAUCCAUGUAUCUCAUAACAAAUCCUGAGGUAUCACAUAGUAUACCCAAAAAGCUUGUCCUCUCGCUAGUUGCAUGCACUACAACAGAUAUAGGCUUUUUGACGAUUCCCUGUGACGACUUCAUUAAUAUGUAACGAAUUCGUGAUAAAAUCAACAUUAAAUUCUCUAACGGUCCAUCUUAGCGACAAUAGGAGGUCUUGGUGAUAAGAUAUGUACCCAUGACAAAAGAUAAUCGCAAACAAUGGGGAUUUCGUCAUUACCGGUUCGUCUAUCACACGGUGAUGAUGAUUACUUCCUAGAACUUGCUAGUUAAAGUCCUUAUGGUUUUUGCCCCCUUUAUUUUUGAAACGAAGCUAAAAUUUAAAACUAUUUUGGAUGGACAUGUUGACGAUAUUAAAUCUUUGGCAAAAAGACAUCCAUACCCUUCCCUACUAUUACACAUUUCACACUGUUUUUUUAUCAAUUGUGUAUUUGCUUCCAUUUGUACAUGCAGCUUGCAAUUUUUAUAAACUCUGACAAGUAUGACAAUUUUGACAGACUAUGGAUAAAAUGUUGUUUCAAAAUUUGACAUAAUUUUGCCAGAAAUUUGGACAUAUUUUGACAAAAAACAAAGGAUAGAAUGGCACAAGUUUGACACUCAAGUAGAAGUAUAGCAAGUACCAGAACCUCAAGAAAAUCAAAAUCACAAACUCAACCAAAUCCAACCUUGCAGCCUCGGUGUCGGAAUAAACUUUUGAAACAUGAGGUUUAUUAUCCAUUUUGUUUGCAGUGAGACUAUCUACUUUCAAUGCUAGAAUAAACUACUCAAAGCAACGAGUUUGUCAACAUGAACAACCUCAAUGUCUUGGAGCAUUCCUUAAGUACGACAUCUCAUAAUUUAUAAUUUGGAAGAAGCGUGCAUUUUCUUUAUAGGCACUCUACAGUGACUGAAUAAACUAAAGAACAUCACAAAUCCGUCUUUCCGAUUUUCACCCCCAUUGUUAAUUUGGAAGAAGCGUGCAUUUUCUUUAUAGGCACUCUACAGUGACUGAAUAAACUAAAGAACAUCACAAAUCCGUCUUUCCGAUUUUCACCCCCAUUGUUGGCGCUGCAUGUUUUGCUUAUGUACAGAAAUAAUUAUGCGUACGUUGUUGUUCCAUGAUGCAAAUUGAGCGAGAGCUCAACUCAAUAAUUUAUUAUACACUUCCUUUUGUCAAGAAUGAUGGACAACUCACUACUACGAAAACCAUCUUUCGUGGCGGCCAUUUUAGAUUUUCGCUGGCGGAAUUUGGAGCCGCCACAAAGCAAAGGCCAGUGAAGAUCUAAUAUUUUCGCUGGCGGUUAUGUUCCGCUUGCGAAAAUCUAUUUUCACAAGCGGACACACGAUUUUCACUAACGGUUUCGGUCCGCUUGCGAAAAUCGAUUUUCGCAAGUGGACAAACGAUUUUUGCUAGCAGUUGAGUGUCGCUUGCGAAAACCCAUUUUCUCUGGCGGUUGCUUAAAGAGAACCGCCAGUGAAAAUCAACCCACCCCGCCAAAAAUUCCCUACCCCAAAUUCAAAAUUCCCCACUCGGCCAAAUUCAAAACAAUCCAUAUUUGAAAAUGGACAUAAACAUCAUUCAAACACAAUCCAAAUCCAGAGCAUCACAAAUAUGUACAUAAUAUUGGCAUCAAUCCAAAUACAACAUUGACAUCAUCAACAGAACAAACACAGAUUAACCUAACAAACAUCCUUACAAACCAAAACACACACAAAAGCACAGAGAACCCUAGUCGCCGAAGCCAUCGGGACGAGCCACCGCCGCUGCCAUCUGCCGGUCACGGAACCAAAACACACAAAAACACGCUUGCCGGCAGCGUCGCGGUCAUCGUCGUCGCCACGGUCACGGUCGUCGUCGUCAGCUCCGCUGCCGGGGACGAGCCGCUGUUGUCGCCGCCAUCCGCUUCCGGGGACGAGCCGCCGCCGUCGACGGGGACGAGCCGCCGCCAUCCGCUGACGGGGACGAGCCGCCGCCAUCCGCCGCCGGGGACGAGCCGCCGCCUCCCGCGCUGCGUGCUCCCCGCACCACCGCCGGGGCAGAUCUGCACGUCCUCCCCGUCGCCGCCUAUGUUGUGCCACCGGCGGCGGCCUCCUCCCCUCGGACAGAUGGGAGAGGAGGGGAUGGGAGGGCAGGGGCGACGCGGGGAACCGCCGGUCGUCGCCGCCAGAGCCGCCGCCGCUGCCAUCGCUGGUCGUCGCCUCUAGAGCCGCCACCGCCGUCGCCGGUCGUCGCCGCCAGAGCCGUCGCCUCCGUCGCAGGUGGAGAGGCUGGGAAGGAGGAGAGGGAGGAGAGAGAAGAGGAGUGGAUAAGAAGAGGAGGGGAUGUGUGGUGUUUUAAUGUGGAGAAGAGGAUGAGGAUGGGUAGGUGGGUGUUUUAAUGUGACAGAUACUUUUGGUUGGAUUUCCACUGGCGGUUCUAUUUAUUGGUCGCCAUGAAAAAUUGGACCGCCAACGAAAAUUAACUAUUUUUGCUGGCGGUGCACCUAAUUGACCGCCAGCAAAAAUAGACAUAUUUUCGCUGGCGGCCGCAUUAGAUGGGCCACCAGCGAAAAUGCAUUUUUGCUGGCGGUCGGUGCCCCUCACCCCCUCGUUACAAGUUUGCUGGCGGUUUUCAUAUUUUUCCGCCAGUGAAAAUAAUAGAGCAACGUCUUGAAAAAUCAAUUUUCUAGUAGUGACUAGAUGAUUUUCAAUUGAAAUUAAUAACUAUAUAUGAAACUUGUUAAUGUACCAAAGUUUAAAAUUUUGAAAACCCGUCUUGAUGUCGCUUGAAACAACAUAGUUGCAUGAAGUAACGUGUUUCCAUGACAUUGGCUUGUCAUAUUCACAAUGAUGCUGCAUAUGCGGCCUUUGAUAUACGCUUGUUUUAGUCGUGGAUGGAGAAUCAAAGUUGAUUGCUGCAUCUUUACGUGGUCUGUAUGGUAUACGAUUUUGUUGUGGUGGAUUUAGUAUUUUUCAUAUGUGCUUUUUGUUUGUUCUUAUUGGAAUAAAAUGAUGGACAUCCUUUAUACACUCCAUUUAUAUCUAAAAUACGAAGUAGCUUCGAAUCAAAUUUAAGCGCACAGUAAAAUUGUGGAGUACCAAUCAUGGUAAUUAGCUACGACAAUGCACUAGGAUAUAUCCUUAUAGAGGCAAGCUAUUUAAAUAUGAAAGAUAAUUUUAUUUCUAUUUAUAUCACCUCAAGUUUCACAUGUCACAUACGAUGAUACCUGAGCUUAUAUUUUCACUUCCGAACUACAAUAUUGUGAAAAUUCAGUACAAGACACCGCCAAGGGUGGUAAUGCUACCAGGUGCACUAUAGGACCAAGGGUAGAUACCAUAUGUAGAUGGCAAGUUAAAAGCCAACAGUGCUUGAGCUUGAGCCAGAUUCCGGUCAAUGUAGAGAUUGCCAAACUGCUGGAGGUGUAGCUGGUGCGCUAUGGCCUGGACAACGUUAAUGUCCUGGUAGUGAGAUUGUUGCGCCACCAGCCUGAGCUGUUGCAAGACUUGGUUGUUUCUCAGUUGAAACGCAGCUGAUUGCAAGAAGGUGCUUGCCGCAAUGCUAUACUGCUGCCUUACGAACUCAUUAUAUGGGCUAAGCACCUGUUGCUGUAGCAGGAGAGGCGACUGCACCUGAUAUUGCCUAAUAUUUUGACCUAAAACAUCAAACUGCGCAGUGGCGCUGCAUGCAGCAAUAGCAAGGAGAGCAAAGACGAAAAUGAUCUUCAUUGUUGCAGGACACUAGUUCUUUUAAAUUUUUGUUGUAUAAUGCUUGAAUUGUGCGAGCGAUGAGGAGGGUUUUCAUGGAGUUUGUCCAUUUAGAGAUGCGGUGGCACGGAUUUUCUCUCGAUUCCUCAUCGGUUGCUUUAGUGUGUUAGUUUUGCUUGGAUGUCCUAUUAGGAUCUAAGUGAGUCAUGUCAUUUGGAUGUAUGUUCUAUUAGGUGCCCCAACAAAUCCGCUUUGGUGUCAUCAUGAAAGUAACUUUUCUGUCCAUCAUGAUGGUUAGCAGGCAAGAAAGAUAACGAUAUGACUCAUCGCUCACCAUUUGCGUUUGUUUCGUGAGGAUUGAAUCUUUUAUCUAGGUAUGUUUCUCACGUUUACUAAGCUAUUAUUUCACUACUGCAUGCCACGUUGAACUUUAAGGUCGCGCGGCCUCAUGCAUCUUGAAUUAUCAAAUUUCAACAGGAAUGACAAAAUUAUAGUACGACAGGUGCAUUUUAUUGUUUCGUUGAUGCGGUAGUGAAGAAUUUCUUGUAGGAAGAAUUAAGUUAGCGCUGAAGCCUAAAAUCACCAUUCGAGAUAUUUACGAGAGAUCACCAUUAUAAUUUUGCUGAAACAUGAGGUUUAUUAUCCAUUUUGUUUGCAGUGAGACUAUCUACUUUCAAUGCUAGAAUAAACUACUCAAAGCAACGAGUUUGUCAGCAAGAACAACCUCAAUGUCUUGGAGCAUUCCUUAAGUACGACAUCUCAUAAUUUUGAAUUUGGAAGAAGGGUGCAUUUUCUUUAUAGUCACUCUACAGUGAUAGAAUAAACCAAAGAACAUCACAAAUCCGUCUGUCCAGUUUUCACCCCCAUUGUUGCCGCUGCAUGUUUUGCUUCUGUACAGAAAUAAUUAUGCCUACGUUGUUGUUCCAUGAUGCAAAUUGAGCGAGAGCUCAACUCAAGAAUUUAUUAUACACUUCCUUUUUUCAAGAAUGAUGGACAACUAGAUGAUUUUCAAUUAUAAUUAAUAUCUAUAUAUGAAACUUGUUAAUGUACCAAAGUUUAAAAUUUUGAAAACCCGUCUUGAUGUCGCUUGACACAACAUAGUUGCAUUAAGUUACGUGUUUGCAUGACAUUGGCUUGUCAUAUUCACAAUGAUGUUGCAUAUGCGGCCUUUGAUAUACGCUUGUUUUAGUAGUGGAUGGAGAAUCAAAGUUGAUUGCUGCAUCUUUACGUGGUCUGUAUGGUAUACGAUUUUGUUGUGGUGGAUUUAGUAUUUGUCAUAUGUUUUUUGUGUUUGUUCUUAUUGGAAUAAAAUGAUGGACAUCCUUUAUACACUCCAUUUAUAUCUAAAAUACGAAGUAGCUUCGAAUCAAAUUUAAGCGCACAGAAAAAUUGUGGAGUACCAAUCAUGGUAAUUAGCUACGACAAUGCACUAGGAUAUAUCCUUAUAGAGGCAAGCUAUUUAAAUAUGAAAGAUAAUUUUAUUUCUAUUUAUAUCACCUCAAGUUUCACAUGUCACAUACGAUGAUACCUGAGCUUAUAUUUUCACUUCCGAACUACAAUAUUGUGAAAAUUCAGUACAAGACACCGCCAAGGGUGGUAAUGCUAUCGGGUGCACUAUAGGACCAAGGGUAGAUACCAUAUGUAGAUGGCAAGUUAAAAGCCAACAGUGCUUGAGCUUGAGCCAGAUUCCGGUCAAUGUAGAGAUUGCCAAACUGCUGGAGGUGUAGCUGGUGCGCUAUGGCCUGGACAACGUUAAUGUCCUGGUAGUGAGAUUGUUGCGCCACCAGCCUGAGCUGUUGCAAGACUUGGUUGUUUCUCAGUUGAAACGCAGCUGAUUGCAAGAAGGUGCUUGCCGCAAUGCUAUACUGCUGCCUUACGAACUCAUUAUAUGGGCUAAGCACCUGUUGCUGUAGCAGGAGAGGCGACUGCACCUGAUAUUGCCUAAUAUUUUGACCUAAAACAUCAAACUGCGCAGUGGCGCUGCAUGCAGCAAUAGCAAGGAGAGCAAAGACGAAAAUGAUCUUCAUUGUUGCAGGACACUAGUUCUUUUAAAUUUUUGUUGUAUAAUGCUUGAAUUGUGCGAGCGAUGAGGAGGGUUUUCAUGGAGUUUGUCCAUUUAUAGAUGCGCUGGCACGGAUUUUCUUUCGAUUCCUCAUCGGUUGCUUUAGUGUGUUAGUUUUGCUUGGAUGUCCUAUUAGGAUCUAGGUGAGUCAUGUCAUUUGGAUGUAUGUUCUAUUAGGUGCCCCAACAAAUCCGCUUUGGUGUCAUCAUGAAAGUAACUUUUCUGUCCAUCAUGAUGGUUAGCAGGCAAGAAAGAUAACGAUAUGACUCAUCGCUCACCUUAUGCGUUUGUUUCGUGAGGAUUGAAUCUUUUAUCUAGGGAUGUUUAUCACGUUUACUAAGCUAUUUUUUCACUACUGCAUGCCACGUUGAACUUUAAGGUCGCGCGGCCUCAUGCAUCUUGAAUUAUAAAAUUUCAACAGGAAUGACAAAAUUAUAGUACGGCAGGUGCAUUUUAUUGUUUCGUUGAUGCGGUAGUGAAGAUUUGAUUGUAGGAAGAAUUAAGUUAGCGCUGAAGCCUAAAAUCACCAUUCGAGAUAUUUACGAGAGAUCACCAAUAUAAUUUUGCUGAAACAUGAGGUUUAUUAUCCAUUUUGUUUGCAGUGAGACUAUCUACUUUCAAUGCUAGAAUAAACUACUCAAAGCAAAGAGUUUGUCAGCAAGAACAACCUCAAUGUCUUGGAGCAUUCCUUAAGUACGACAUCUCAUAAUUUUGAAUUUGGAAGAAGGGUGCAUUUUCUUUAUAGUCACUCUACAGUGACAGAAUAAACCAAAGAACAUCACAAAUCCGUCUUUCCGGUUUUCACCCCCAUUGUUGGCGCUGCAUGUUUUGCUUCUGUACAGAAAUAAUUAUGCCUACGUUGUUGUUCCAUGAUGCAAAUUGAGCGAGAGCUCAACUCAAGAAUUUAUUAUACACUUCCUUUUGUCAAGAAUGUUGGACAACUAGAUGAUUUUCAAUUGAAAUUAAUAUCUAUAUAUGAAACUAGUUAAUGUACCAAAGUUUAAAAUUUUGAAAACCCGUCUUGAUGUCGCUUGACACAACAUAGUUGCAUUAAGUUACGUGUUUGCAUGACAUUGGCUUGUCAUAUUCACAAUGAUGUUGCAUAUGCGGCCUUUGAUAUACGCUUGUUUUAGUAGUGGAUGGAGAAUCAAAGUUGAUUGCUGCAUCUUUACGUGGUCUGUAUGGUAUACGAUUUUGUUGUGGUGGAUUUAGUAUUUGUCAUAUGUUUUUUGUGUUUGUUCUUAUUGGAAUAAAAUGAUGGACAUCCUUUAUACACUCCAUUUAUAUCUAAAAUACGAAGUAGCUUCGAAUCAAAUUUAAGCGCACAGAAAAAUUGUGGAGUACCAAUCAUGGUAAUUAGCUACGACAAUGCACUAGGAUAUAUCCUUAUAGAGGCAAGCUAUUUAAAUAUGAAAGAUAAUUUUAUUUCUAUUUAUAUCACCUUAAGUUUCACAUGUCACAUACGAUGAUACCUGAGCUUAUAUUUUCACUUCCGAACUACAAUAUUGUGAAAAUUCAGUACAAGACACCGCCAAGGGUGGUAAUACUACCCGGUGCACUAUAGUACCUAGGGUAGAUACCAUAUGUAGAUGGCAAGUUAAAAGCCAACAGUGCUUGCGCUUGAGCCAGAUUCCGGUCAAUGUAGAGAUCGCCAAACUGCUGGAGGUGUAGCUGCUGCGCUAUGGCCUGGACAACGUUAAUGUCCUGGUAGUGAGAUUGUUGCGCCACCAGCCUGAGCUGUUGCAAGACUUGGUUGUUUCUCAGUUGAAACACAGCUGAUUGCAAGAAGGGGCUUGCCGCAAUGCUAUACUGCUGCCUUACGAACUCAUUAUAUAGGCUAAGCACCUGUUGCUGUAGCAGGAGAGGCGACUGCACCUGAUAUUGCCUAAUAUUUUGACCUAAAACAUCAAACUGCGCUGUGGCGCUGCAUGCAGCAAUAGCAAGGAGAGCAAAGACGAAAAUGAUCUUCAUUGUUGCAGGACACUAGUUCUUUUAAAUUUUUGUUGUAUAAUGCUUGAAUUGUGCGAGCGAUGAGGAGGGUUUUCAUGGAGUUUGUCCAUUUAUAGAUGCGCUGGCACGGAUUUUCUUUCGAUUCCUCAUCGGUUGCUUUAGUGUGUUAGUUUUGCUUGGAUGUCCUAUUAGGAUCUAAGUGAGUCAUGUCAUUUGGUUGUAUGUUCUAUUAGGUGCCCCAACAAAUCCGCUUUGGUGUCAUCAUGAAAGUAACUUUUCUGUCCAUCAUGAUGGUUAGCAGGCAAGAAAGAUAACGAUAUGACUCAUCGCUCACCUUAUGCGUUUGUUUCGUGAGGAUUGAAUCUGUUAUCUAGGUAUGUUUAUCAUGUUUACCAAGCUAUUAUUUCACUACUGCAUGCCACGUUGAACUUUAAGGUCGUGCGGCCUCAUGCAUCUUGAAUUAUAAAAUUUCAACAGGAAUGACAAAAUUAUAGUACGGCAGGUGCAUUGUAUUGUUUCUUUGAUGUGGUAAUGAAGAUUUGAUUGUAGGAAGAAUUAAGUUAGCACUGAAGUCUAAUAUCACCAUUCGAGAUAUUUACGAGAGAUCACCAUUAUAAUUUUGCUGAAACAUGAGGUUUAUUAUCCAUUUUGUUUACAGUGAGACUAUCUACUUUCAAUGCUAGAAUAAACUACUCAAAGCAACGAGUUUGUCAGCAAGAACAACCUCAAUGUCUUGGAGCAUUCCUUAAGUACGACAUCACAUAAUUUUGAAUUUGGAAGAAGGGUGUAUUUUCUUUAUAGUCACUCUACAGUGACAGAAUAAACCAAAAGAACAUCACAAAUCUGUCUUUUCGGUUUUCACCCCCAUUGUUGCCGCUGCAUGUUUUGCUUCUGUACAGAAAUAAUUAUGCCUACGUUGUUGUUCCAUGAUGCAAAUUGAGCGAGAGCUCAACUCAAGAAUUUAUUAUACACUUCCUUUUGUCAAGAAUGAUGGACAACUAGAUGAUUUUCAAUUCAAAUUAAUAUCUAUAUAUGAAACUUGUUAAUGUACCAAUGUUUAAAAUUUUGAAAACCCGUUUUGAUGUCGCUUGAAACAACAUAGUUGCAUGAAGUGAUGUGUUUGCAUGACAUUGGCUUGUCAUAUUCACAAUGAUGCUGCAUAUGCGGCCUUUGAUAUACGCUUGUUUUAGUAGUGGGACUAAAUUCAAUGGGACUAAAUUCUUUUAUUCCCUUCUAUAUUAAAUAAUCAAGAUGAGGCAGCAGUGCAAAAUUGAGCCGAAUUUUAGGAAAAUAGGGUUCACCAAGUCGAGUUCACACCGCGUUUCUCUUGCGCAAACUCCACUUGCUGGGGGGCAUUUGUUUGACGGUAUUUUGUGAUCUUAUAAAUCCAAGGAUUAUUUGUAUUAUCAAGACAAGCAAACAAAAGAGCAGCUAUGAUCGUCGCAUUCAUUAAUAUGUGACUCUGUAUAUAGCUUGCUCAAUUGCAUGGGAUGCAUGAGCCAUGCACGUACUGGCAUAUGUAUGUCCUCCUAUAUGGCUAUACAUGGGUACAUGUGUUCAGCCAUAUAUACAUGCUUAGCUAAUCUAUACGUAAGCAUGCAUGCACAAGGAGACCUAAGUGACAUGUGAGCAGCUCAUAAACGAGCGCUCGUGACUAUAUAUGUAUUCACCGUACGUGCAUGUAUACGUACAGAAAUACCGGGUGGUUUCUAUGAGUUAAGAAGCAACAUCUAGCUACACGGUUGAAAUGUGAAGCUGCACGUGGGCCGGCAGCCCAUAGACACAUUGCGUUUUCAUCGUAUAUAUGCGAUUGUAUCAGAAUACAUGCGUACGCGGGAUUUCUCAACUGCAAGCUACUGAUGUGCGCGGCUAGCGCCGGAUAAACCCAACCAACAAACUUCGUCUUAUCCAGGUGAUUCGAAUUAGCGUGAUCUGCAGCAACGUCGCCCGGAGGUAUCGGAACAAACACGUGCAGCCACGUCGGCGCCGGAGUAUGCGCGCCCGUCCGUUAGGUUUUCCCAGCGCUUAUAAAAGCCAACGAGAGCUAACCAGCCAGGGCAUGGAGAAUCAUUCAUAAAACACACAUCCAUCCAUCCACACAUAUGUAGAACAAGAACACAAAGCAGAAGGGCACGCCAACGCGUGCGCUGACGGCCGGCGGCAGCCAACAGGCGCUCUGCCAAGAGACGGCGCCAGGCGAUCGACAUUCGUCCAGCCAUCCCUCUGCCCGGUGAGAAGACACGGCGCGCCAGCCGGCGGCUGUGGGCAGAAUGAGGAGGAGAGAAGCAGUACACGGACAUGGUCUCAUCUACACCAGCACACCGGCGGCGAGUACAGCUCCGUCCUUUUCUUUGUUUCUCUUUCGUUUUGCAGAUUGAUCAUGGAGGAGGAACAUGGAUGUAGAACCACAAGAAGAGAUCGAUCCAUCCACUCAUACAUAGAUCACAUGAGGGAACACACAGAGGCCUCGGCGGAAGGGUACGCCGGCGAGGGUACAGGCAGCCACCCAAUAGACGGCGCUAGGCGAUCGACAUCCAUGCAUCGAGAUCCAUCCGACUCCCAUCAAGAUUCAUCCACAGCUACUUCGCCGGAGCAGGAGAGCACGCCGCCGGUAGCGCUCGGCGCCGGUGUCCAGCAGAAGGACGUUGGAGGAAGGAGAGCAACCUGAACUUGGCCAAUCAACAAGCACGAGAAUUAGAUCAAUGGCUGCCCAAGGUAAAGGCUAACCAAAUAUCGUUCCUUUCCUGUUUUAUCUGCAGCACACAUGCAUGCAUGAGGAUAUUUCUACACACGGCGGGUCAGUGCGUGGUGCAUCGUCGUCGCUAGAGUUGUUGAGCCGACCCAUCUAUGGGCGCCACCUAUAAGCUUCGUCACGUCGGAGUUGAUGACAUGCCGUUCGUCCGCGAUACCUUCGCCUUCAUCACACGGCAGUCGCAGACGCCGUCGAGCCACCCACGUCCACAACUAGGCUGCUGCCUCACCAGAAAUGCUGUUUCGGGCACUAUUCACGCCAUCCCGCGAAGAUCGCGAGAGCUGCCAUGGGCGUUUGCCAAGGCGCUGCCGGCCGAGCGGUGGUCAUCCUCGCCAACUGAUCACCACCUGCCGAAGAUGGUCAUCCCCACGUCGCACUGAUGGAGCGUUGGGAAUAGUCGGAGCAGCCGCGGGCAUCAUCAAGCCAUCCCUAAUCCGCCAGGAGGUCUUGUCAGAUCCAAGGCGAAUGCCAUCAUGCUGCCCGCAUCCAUGAAUGUCGCCGAGUCGCCGAGGCGCUGCCAAGCAGUGCUUGUACCCGCCAAUCGAUCAUCUAUCGGGGAAAGCCGUCGUCCUCUCGCCGCCCUGCCGGAGCGCGCCGAAGAUUGCCGGAGCCACCGCCGAUUGCCAUGAUUUCUCCUGCUUCUAUGUCGGAGGUCAAGCAUCAUGCAUGGCGUCGACAACUAUGGCUGCAGCAACUGAGAGUGAGGGCGACAGCGACAGGAUGACGACGAACCGAUGCUGUUGAACGCCAUGGCAACAAGCUAGCAAAUGCACGCUAAUUAAGCUAAUUAUUGUGGCAACGUGGCCGACCAACUGGAGGGUGACACAUCAUCACCAUGCUUCAGUGCUAUGCACAAGAAGAAGUCGUCAACGCGAUGGCUAAACAAAUCCUGUUGAUUUCAAGCUUUCUCAAUUAGAUACCGAGCUGUGAUUAAAUCCGGCUGCCGUCUAUAUCGUCCAACUCGUCGGCGACACUCUAACGCUCGCCAUCCCUGCUCAAGCUACCGGUGAUGCCGUCUACCGGAUGCCGCCACGUCGUCGAGAUACACCAACGCCCCCAUCUCGCCAACUGCGGCUUCUCUUCCGUAAUGUGCGCCGUACCCUCGCCGGCGAUCGUCGGAGCAGCCACUAGUGUCGCCCGAGCUGUUUCUGAUCCAGGAGAUGGUGGCAGUCGCCGGGAUGCUCCUCGAGGAGCCGUCGACACAUGCCACCCUGCUGGGACACACUGAAGGUCCCCAGAGCAGCCGCGGACACCGUCGAGGUGCUCGUACACCGUCGUCAAGUCCAGCUGUGAUUCUUUCACUUCAUCACGGCGGAGUUGUCAUGUCGACUGAUCUGUUGGCGCUGAUCGCAAGCCUCCGUCAAGAUCGAUGCCACUCGUCCUCAGGACUGAUGCAAUCUGUUCGAGCUGCGGUGAUGAUUCUACUCGUUGCGAUCUCGCCGAGACGUUAAACGUCGUCGCCUUUUGCCGACCGCUGCCUCGCAACACCGUCAAUAUCUACCCACCCUCGCCACCGUUGCAAUCUUGGUGCCCACAAGCCGUCGUCAAGUCUGGCUGUGCUUCCUUCUCUUCAUCAGGCCGAGGUCGUCGUGCUGUCUGUCCACGAUGCCUUCUCUUUGUCACGUCGGAGCGUCAAAGUUCAGUGCCCCUACAUCAUCGUUGAGCCGUUCGUGAUGCCGUCUGGCCAUCCCUUCGUCACGUCGGAGCGCCACUGCUUGGUUCCCGUGCAUCGUCAUCAAGCUGAGGUCGUCGUUUCGUCCAUCCACAAUGUCUUUCUCUCCGCCGCGCCAAGGCUACGAGAUGCCAUCCGGCCGCGAUGCCCUUCACCUCGUCAAGUUGGAGUCGUCGUUCUGUCAUCACGCCAAGAUGAGAUACCGCCUGUCCGUGAUGCUCUCCCUCUUCGUGGAGAUUAAUGGUGUCGCACAUCCGCGUAUUGGAGCAUCGCUCAUCUACGUCAACCUGAAGAAAGAAUGGUGUCAUCUGUGAUGCCAGGAAACCAUUCGUGCUGAAUCUACUCCAACAAAUGCCCUUAGCCGUUCCGCCGACGAGGCAUUUACUUCUUCCAAGGUCGCUGUCAUUACCGGCGCCCUCAUAGAGCCCCUUUUACGGGCUCGUUAUCAUAUCAACUGGAUCAAUAGUAGAUCCAUCAUCUGAAGGAGGUGCUAAGCCAUGUUUGUCCGGCUGUCGUCUACACUGAUUUCUUCAUCAUCUUCAUUACAAGUCCCUGUUGUAUAAAGGGCAUGACAAGUUGGGAGGUGCCUAACCAUGUGUAAUUCGGCUGUCGUCUACACCAACUAUCUUCGUCAACUCUUCAUUACUUUGAUCUCAUCUAGCCAGAAGGUGCCCAACCAUGUAUAUUCGGCUAUUGUGUACACCAACUGACUUCACCAGCUCCUCUUCCCUUUAACACCAUUCUGAUGCCGUUGCUAUGACUUCUCUACCGUCCAAGCUACGCGAGUUCCAUGCAUGCUGAAGAUCACUAUAUCUACACCACCACGUCACUCAAGACAGAUGAGGCGGAGCGACGAGGGCAGGCGGAGUAUAAAUAAAGGCUAUGUCUCCAACACCGGCGCACGGACCGACGAGGCCGUGGAUCGCUGUCGGCGCCCACACACACAUCCACCAUCUUCACCAACAUUCAUCAUGCAUGGAGAACGUAAAGCGAAGACGACGAGACGACCACAAGCAGCUUAAUCGGAGGUUCUCCUGUAGGCCUAUACCUACAGGUAAUUAACUGGGAGCUUCUUGAGGCCCUAGGAACCAGAAGACCACAUCGCUGAUGUCAGAUCUGUCCAACGACAGGCAAAGGCACGCACAUUUUAUAUUAUACAUAGAAACUGUAUCUUGUUAAUUCAAUUAAUAAAGAUCACGUUUUUGUGUCUCUUUUGUGUUUGAUUUACAUUUUGUAUCUAGGUACACUGGCACGCCCGCACUAAUUUUCUUUCUAAACAUAGAGGGAUAUAUAUUCGUAUUUUUUCUAUCCUAAACAAUCACCAUUCGAGAUAUUUACGAGAGAUCACCAUUAUAAUUUUGCUGAAACAUGAGGUUUAUUAUCCAUUUGGUUUACAGUGAGACUAUCUACUUUCAAUGCUAGAAUAAACUACUCAAAGCAACGAGUUUGUCAACAAGAACAACCUCAAUGUCUUGGAGCAUUCCUUAAGUACGACAUCUCAUAAUUUUUAAUUUGGAAGAAGCGUGCAUUUUCUUUAUAGUCACUCUACAGUGACUGAAUAAACUAAAGAACAUCACAAAUCCGUCUUUCCUAUUUUUACCCCUAUUGUUGCCGCUGCAUGUUUUGCUUCUGUACAGAAAUAAUUAUGCCUACGUUGUUGUUCCAUGAUGCAAAUUGAGCGAGAGCUCAACUCAAGAAUUUAUUAUACACUUCCUUUUGUCAAGAAUGAUGGACAACUAGAUGAUUUUCAAUUGAAAUUAAUAUCUAUAUAUGAAACUAGUUAAUGUACCAAAGUUUAAAAUUUUGAAAACCCGUCUUGAUGUCGCUUGACACAACAUAGUUGCAUGAAGUUACGUGUUUGCAUGACAUUGGCUUGUCAUAUUCACAAUGAUGCUGCAUAUGCGGCCUUUGAUAUACGCUUGUUUUAGUAGUGGAUGGAGAAUCAAAGUUGAUUGCUGCAUCUUUACGUGGUCUGUAUGGUAUACGAUUUUGUUGUGGUGGAUUUAGUAUUUGUCAUAUGUUUUUUGUGUUUGUUCUUAUUGGAAUAAAAUGAUGGACAUCCUUUAUACACUCCAUUUAUAUCUAAAAUACAAAGUAGCUUCGAAUCAAAUUUAAGCGCACAGAAAAAUUGUGGAGUACCAAUCAUGGUAAUUAGCUACGACAAUGCACUAGGAUAUAUCCUUAUAGAGGCAAGCUAUUUAAAUAUGAAAGAUAAUUUUAUUUCUAUUUAUAUCACCUUAAGUUUCACAUGUCACAUACGAUGAUACCUGAGCUUAUAUUUUCACUUCCGAACUACAAUAUUGUGAAAAUUCAGUACAAGACACCGCCAAGGGUGGUAAUGCUACCGGGUGCACUAUAGUACCUAGGGUAGAUACCAUAUGUAGAUGGCAAGUUAAAAGCCAACAGUGCUUGAGCUUGAGCCAGAUUCCGGUCAAUGUAGAGAUCGCCAAACUGCUGUAGGUGUAGCUGCUGCGCUAUGGCCUGGACAACGUUAAUGUCCUGGUAGUGAGAUUGUUGCGCCACCAGCCUGAGCUGUUGCAAGACUUGGUUGUUUCUCACUUGAAACACAGCUGAUUGCAAGAAGGGGCUUGCCGCAAUGCUAUACUGCUGCCUUACGAACUCAUUAUAUAGGCUAAGCACCUGUUGCUGUAGCAGGAGAGGCGACUGCACCUGAUAUUGCCUAAUAUUUUGACCUAAAACAUCAAACUGCGCAGUGGCGCUGCAUGCAGCAAUAGCAAGGAGAGCAAAGACGAAAAUGAUCUUCAUUGUUGCAGGACACUAGUUCUUUUAAAUUUUUGUUGUAUAAUGCUUGAAUUGUGCGAGCGAUAAGGAGGGUUUUCAUGGAG
Molecule: long non-coding RNA, 57912 nt
Filed under: Oryza sativa (Asian cultivated rice)
Lineage: Eukaryota; Viridiplantae; Streptophyta; Magnoliopsida; Poales; Poaceae
Description: long non-coding RNA (OSAT_LNC001299)
Rfam family: MIR812 microRNA precursor family (bases 28548-28741)
Source: RNAcentral